CCCGCUUGGGGUUUUGGUUACAUACUCACAUUGGAUUGAAGUCGCAACUUGCAAGGUGCCAGAGUUAAUUCGUCUAGUCCAUUCGGUUUUGGUGCGAUGAUUGUUUUCAUCAUGGUAGUUAGAUGUAUCUUUCUGAGCCCGCAAAAAAAGAAAUCAUUCUGAGAUGUUGUUUCUACUAUAAAACCAAUAACAAUAAUCCACAACUGCAAGUAAACUUCCGUACGUAUAGUUGAUGGAUGAUGGCUGCGUGUCGAUCGCUGUUUAGUUGAAGCCUUGCUAGGCAGCUGCGCAGCCAGGCAACAAUGUGGACCCACUCUGAUGAAAUCAUAGGCCUGAGCCUUUGACCGCUGCCUGUACCAAGCAGUUUACCACAAUCCCAAUCAGCUUGGGCCUGUUUAGUUUCCCACCCAAAAAUUUUUCAUCCAUCCCAUCGAAUCUUUGGACACAUGCAUAGAACAUUAAAUGUAGAUAAAAAAAUAAACUAAUUACACAGUUUAGUUAAGAAUUGUGAGACGAAUCUUUUAAGCCUAGUUACUCCAUGAUUAGCCUUAAGUGCUACAGUAACCCACAUAUGCUAAUGACAGAUUAAUUAUGCUUAAUAAAUUUGUCUUGCAGUUUCCUGACGAGCUAUGUAAUUUGUUUUUUUAUUAGUUUCUAAAAACCCCUCCCGACAUCCUUCCGACACAUUCGAUGUGACACACCAAAAAUUUUCGUUCCCAAUCUAAACAGGCCCUAACUUGUCGGUCCCUCAUACUCCAAUCUUCUUUUCUACUAUAGAGAAGAAAGAUUGCCCACCUCCUAUCUCAUUCAUUCACCUACCGGCAUCUAGUAUAUAUUGACUAUUGAUUUGGACUUCAGUCUCGUGCUCUCGUCUUGUAUUCUUCGUUUGAUAUGGACACAGUUGAAGAAUGCUUGUAUAUAUAUAGUUCAAAAAGGAAAAAAAAUCGACACCUAAUCAAAAUUCGCGCGCUUUUUUGCUCCAGGUGACCCACUUCAAAUGCGGUGGCGUGGCUAUCGGCGUUGGCAUGCAGCACCACGUAGCCGACGGCUUCUCCGGCCUGCACUUCAUCAACUCGUGGGCGGACCUCUGCCGCGGCGUCCCGAUCGCCGUCAUGCCCUUCAUUGACCGGUCCCUCCUCCGCGCGCGUGACCCGCCGGCCCCGGUCUACCCGCACGUCGAGUACCAGCCGGCGCCCGCCAUGCUGUCCUCCGAGCCGCCACAGGCGGCCCUCACGGCCAAGCCGGCGACGCCGCCCGCGGCCGUUGCCAUCUUCAAGCUCUCCCGCGCCGAGCUGGGCCGCCUGCGUUCGCAGGUCCCCGCGCGCGAGCGCGAGGGCGCGCCGCGGUUCAGCACGUACGCGGUGCUGGCGGCGCACGUGUGGCGGUGCGCGUCCCUGGCGCGCGGCCUGCCGGCGGACCAGCCCACCAAGCUGUACUGCGCCACGGACGGCCGGCAGCGGCUGCAGCCGCCGCUUCCCGAGGGCUACUUCGGCAACGUGAUCUUCACGGCGACGCCGCUGGCGAACGCCGGCACGGUGACGGCCGGGGUGGCGGAGGGCGCGGCCGUGAUCCAGGCGGCGCUGGACCGGAUGGACGACGGGUACUGCCGGUCGGCGCUGGACUACCUGGAGCUGCAGCCGGACCUGUCGGCGCUGGUCCGCGGGGCGCACACGUUCCGGUGCCCCAACCUGGGGCUCACCAGCUGGGUGCGCCUGCCCAUCCACGACGCGGACUUCGGGUGGGGCCGGCCCGUGUUCAUGGGCCCCGGCGGCAUCGCGUACGAGGGGCUCGCGUUCGUGCUCCCCAGCGCCAACCGCGACGGCAGCCUGUCCGUGGCCAUCUCGCUGCAGGCGGAGCACAUGGAGAAGUUCCGGAAGCUCAUCUACGACUUCUGAUCUCCGAGCUCCUCCCAAGAAGUCGUCAGUACCAUACCAACCAGUACGCGCAGCACAGAGAAGCAGAAGAAGCGGUAGCAAGAGGUGCAGGGAGGGUGAUUUUUCAGCUAUGAAGUCUGGAGGGAGUACUCCGUAGGUUGCAGCAAGAUUCUUUGAUUUCACACAUAGUUCCUGCACACUUUCCCGUUCUUGCCUGCCCCCUUUGGGCAGGGUGUAUACUUUUUUGUGCCGUUUGGUUUACGAGCCCCAGCAAUUGUAUGAUGAAUGAACAAUUUAAUACGUUCUGAAUGAUACAGAUCAAUAAGACUAAUUAACUUACCUCUUGAGUUUUUUUUUUGAUAUAGAUAAGCAUAGAAGAGUAUACAUAUGCAGGAGUGCAGGACAGUGGUACGAUUCGAGUUCGAUCGACAAACGAGAAAGUACAGCCUGAACUUAUAAUCUGGUCUGGACAUGAUCAUAUGACUGGGCCUUCUUUUGAACGUGUACUAGUUGACGAAUUGAGACAUCCCAAACGGGCCCGCUGAAUAAUUUGGGCUCUAGAAAGACACUGCAACGGAACGAAGUACAGUGCAAUACUCUUUUUCUCGUGGAAGUGGAACGUUGUCUCUUGUCUGAUUCCAUGGAUUGCAGCGAUCGGAACAGGUCGCACACGUCCCCUUUUUGUUUAUCAUAUAUAUAGUAGCCCGAACCACACGCGUGGACAACGUGGCAACAAGAAAGAUGAGGAUUAGGUCAAGACUCGAGUGGAGCUCCAUAUUGCUUGUUGGUGUUGGUGGCUGGUGGGUGUUCGCCAACCCUGGCCGGUUGCAAGUAGGUGACGACACUGACACGGGCUCCGUGUGGCCGGCCGUAGCUUCCUCCCCGCGCGGAUUACGAUUGUACUCAGGCUGCAGGGGUCCACGGCACGGACGCAAUUGGCGAUUGCACAGUCGAGGUUGGUGGUGUAUCGUCACCACUGUCUGCCCUCACCCGUACCAAACAGAAUUUUUACCGUCGUCAACCGGUUGGAUGGAUCAUCGCCGGUAUAUAGCGUAAAACAACGUAUGUAAUAAAUAUAUAUAUAUAUAUAUAUAUAUAUAUAUAUAUAUAUAUAUAUAUAUAUAUAUAUAUAUAUAUAUAUAUAUAUAUAAAGACUAAAGUGUGGACAUUUUUUUUGUGCGACAAUCAACUUCGGCUCUUCGUCCUGCCUCCUGCGAUCUCCCAUCCCUCGCACCUACGCUCUCGCUUGCAAAAAAAAAGGAAAGAACAAACCUCGCUCGUCACAUUCCUGCAAUCCCGCAGACUCACACCCCUCACGCCGCCCCCUGCUGCGUCACAGCGCGCCUCCGCCACCACCUGUCGUCGCCCACCUGCAUCGUCGCAGUGCGCCUCCGCCGCCCGCCGCCGCCUGCGAGGCCACCUUUCUGACGUUCUUGGAGAUCUUUGGGGGAGGAUUUAGGAUACUGGAGUCUCCCGGUGGCUUCCAAACAUGCGCUCCAAUUUCCUCCACUACAAAUCCGCAGCCCUCAACCAACCUGCCUCCCACGCCGCGCCGAGUCGUGGAGGCGCCAACGUCCCUGCGCCGCCGCCGUCACGGCCGGGGGGCAACAGGACAACUGUCCGGCAGCACCGUGCCAUCUCGUCCGCGACCUCAGGUUCAUCCGAAACCUCGCUAAUUCAGGCAGGAUCAAACCGACACUUGCAACCGACACUUGCAAUGGUGUGCUCCUUCCACCCCUCCACUCCUCCUAUUGUACAUAUGAAUUUGAUUUCCUACGACCUGCGAAUCCUGCCAUCUGUCGAAUGUGGGUUUUCUACAUGCAAAUCUAUCUAUAAGCAUCUCCAAUUUUCAAUUUUCCGAGCUAAUUUUUGUUGAAUUUUAUUUCUUCCUUUUUGGGUGAUUUUUGUGGAAUUUUUGUUCUUCCUUUUUGGAUGCGAAUUGGGGCGAAUUUAUUGAUGGGCUUUGCUGGUAGGAUAUGUGACAAGAUAUCUUUGUCAUCAAACCAUUUGAUCUAACCUUUAAUUUGGGAUUUUAGAAGGUUCCCCUUUUCUAGGGUUCCGAGAAACAUGACACUGUGGUUUGGAUUUCUUUUCCAUCGGUUUUGAUUUGGUUUGUUUGAUGUGGUUUCAAGCAUACUUUACCACCAACGGGUGUCGCUCCAGCAUCAACGCAGGUGCGCGCCUGGCCUUCGCCCUGCUGACCUCAGGCACUCCGUGUUCGCCGAGGUCGAGUUUUACGGAGACGUCGUCCUUUGUUUCUUGUGUGUAGAGGAACACUUGCUAAUCUCCAGAGCCUCUGUCUCCUGCCAACAGUUGGGCCGCCCUUGCCAAUCUCUGGAAUUAUAGGAUAGCCUCACUGUGCCCACAGUUUAUAAUCCCGAGCACCUUGCCACCAGCUAGGUAUGUGUCUCAAUCUUGAAUCUUGAUCUGAACUCAAUUCUCGAUCCGGUUGGGCGCCACUAUAGUCAUAGUUUAUUGUUUGCCUCACAUCUCAUAGAGUUUAGUUUGCUGCUAGACUUUUGUUGCAUUCUUUUUCGAUGAGCAUUGACGAUUGAUAUUGAUAUUUUGCUUGUGUAGGAAAACACAUGCCUAUGUGCAUACCUCUCCUGCAGCCAUGGUUAAACUUGCAUAUGUUUCGUCGGCCUUCCAUGCAUGCAGACAUCCAUCACCAGGUUCAAUGUGAUUGUUGUUUCAUGGUCGGGUUAUUUAUUGAUAGGCCUAUGUCAUCUCGAAGUAACUAUUGGUGUUGGAAUUCAGGUUAAUCUAUUUGAUAUUUUGCCAGGGCUAUUCGAUGGACAUCUCAAAUGUGUGUGAUCUGAGGGCUACUUUGCAGUAACAAAGUUAUUAGGUAUAUCUUGCUGCGACAGAUCAUCAUUUUACUAAAUGCUACCUACGAGAAUAGGUGUCAAUUUUUUUUAGAAAAAUCAGCUUGACCAAAUCUUUCUCUCCUUGACUUUAUCAACAGUAUAUAAAUGUUUUCUAAAAUUAAAUGUAGUUACUUUUUGUCCAUGUUGCCCCCUAAUUUCAGUGUUAGCUCUCAGUGAAUUCAUUCAUUUAGUGCUUUCCCCAAAAUCCACUAAAUCCUUCUAGAGUUGAUUUUUGUCUUUCUACAAAAAAUGGCUUCACCUAUUUCCUUCUAGAGGAACAUGAGGGUAUUUAACGCAUCAGCAUGCAUGCAACUCUUACUAUUUGCGGCAUGUAUGGUAGUAUGAUGUGGAAACACAAUAAAGAAAGCACUAUGUGAUUGUAAUGGUCUAGACUGUUAAUUGAUUUGCCAAAUGAUUUCCGUAGAUCUUAAAACUAAUACUGGUGGCACUUGGCAGUAUUAUGUUUUAUUUGUAAAAUAAAUUAGUAGUUGAUGGUCAUUGUAAUAUGAAGAAUUCUUGAUUGAUGGUGUUUGUGUGUUGUCACUUGUCUGCUAAACCAAGAUUCCAAUGUGACGACUAUGUAUCCUCCUUGGAAUGUGAUUUUAUGGACACUGAUAUUUAUGACCCUUAAGUUCUAGGUGUUGGUUCUAGAAUAAAAAAAUCACAUAGUACAUUUUCAUAUAUAUUCUUUCAGUUAUGUGGCCAUUGUUCUUUAGUCUAGAGUCCUUUGUAGGUGGUAAAAGGCCUGAUCUCAAAUUCAUUUUUUUUUCUCCUAUGCAUUUGAAGUAAUUCUUGUUCUGUAUUUUUGUAAGGAUUUUUCAGUAAAGGUUGGCUAACUUGGACAAACGUUCUCCUCUACAACAGCCUGAACUAAACCUUCCCUUUGCUGGCAUGCUAAAUGUUAAGAAAAUAAUUAGCAUAAUAUAUACAAUGAUCUGCUGAAUUUCUUUUCUGCACAUACCUAUCUUGUUUCUAUUCUUUUGUGUUUCUUCCAUGAUUCCUGAUCCCUGACGAUGUUAAAUCUUGAAUGCAUAUAGGAUUGGAGUGUAUGUUCUGUUUGAAUAGCCCGAUGUGAUCGGUGAUCCAUAUUGGAGUUCUGGGCUUCAGGCAAGGCAAAUUGCACAAGGUUAACUAAGGUAAUGGCUUUUUGACAUUUUUCACUGGGGUGCAUGCAGUUGCAGGACCUCUGAAUGCGUGUCUUCUUAUCACACUGAUUUCUUAAAUUCUACUUGCAUUACAUCUCCAUCUUUAUACAAAUUACUCUAUUUUAGCAGGACUACAGAACAUGGGCGAAGCAUGUAGAUUAAAGAAAAAUAGAUGUCCAGACUAUUCACAAUGAUGUUGCAACUUUUUUAGGAGGUUUUAUAAUUUAAUGGAAAACCUCCUUGCUAUUGUAUAUAGAGCUUGUCUGCCUUAUCUUCCUCACAUAUAUGUGUGUGUACCAACCUAAAGAAAACAAUAAGGCAAAGACCAAACAAGGCUUGUUCCCCUAUAAUAUGUACCAGAUCUGUUUUUUGAACUUGGCUAAAUUUGUUGGAUUCAUAAUCAUGGCUAAUAGUAAUAUUAAUAUAUGUUGGCUGAUAAUAAAAAUAUUUCAUGGUAAAUAGGGAUGGUUUUGUACUAAUAAACAGCUAGAACCUAUAAUUUUGUUCUUACAGGUAAACUUCUAUUGUCCCUGAGCUAAGAUUGAUUUAUGUCUACUCUCUAGCUAACUCUUGGCAGUUGGCACUAAUUUUUAAUGGCAGUAAUGUGAGCCUUCCAAACUCCUAGAACCGAGAAAUGUGGGCACCAAAUGUGGACCUCAAGUUAGUUGCCAAUAUUACCAAGAUUCAGGCAGUAAUCAGUAAGAAGGAACUGACAACUUACCCCCUUGACAUGUCUCUGUGUAACAACAGCUCACAAAUUCUAUGGUUGAACCAUACAAGGCAUGUCUCCCUUUGCAUUCAGAUAUUUUUAAUGUUUAGAAGAUAUACAAAAGUUAUGAUAUUUUAUACCUAUGCUUAUGUAAUUAACAAAACAACUACAAUUUAUCUCUCCUUUAUGAUAAUUUUAAAUCUAUGUAAUUCUAUGCUUGAUUACCAAUGCUACAAUGCACAUCAUCAACAUUUUCAUUCGAUUUGCAUUACUUAAUUCUAUUUUUGAGCGUAUCAGCUGAGUGGGAGCUUAACAUUGCUUCACUUAUUGUGAUAAUAUUUUUUUUCUGUUGUAACAAACAACUAUGAUCAUAGCCAGAUGCUUUCCCUUAUGCAGAUCAAGCACAUUAUUUGGCCAGAAAAAUUGAUGGACCUGUAUAAACUUUUUUUGUCAUUCUAUUAUGAAUGCUUGAAAAUACGAAUGACUAUCAAAUUAAAAAUUAUCAUUUAGUACAAAAAUGGACAGAAAUGUAGUAUAAAAACUACGCCAUGAAAAUUCAAAACACGUUUAAAUUUAAAAUUAUCAUUAUGUGAGCAUGUGACGCCACGCUUUGUGACUGAGUUAGUUUCAGAAACUUUAUUUUUUAGAUUAAAUGUCACUUUAAUAUUGGUAUUUAAUUUUACGAUGUUAUUAUUUUAUAUCGUGCGAUCCAUGUGUUUUUAUACAAAAUGUUAAUUAUCCCGUAGCAACGCACGGGCACUCUUCCUAGUAUAUAUAUAUAUAUAUAUAUAUAUAUAUAUAUAUAUAUAUAUAUAUAUAUAUAUGGCAAACGCUUUUACGUAAUUCUCAAAACACGAACCUAACAUAUAUUUUCUGCCUAUACAUGUCGUACUCUAUUUACCCAUACUCCUUGUACCCACACUCACAUUAACACAGCCCCUCUUAAAAAAUCAUAUUAUCUCUGCAAUUAACAUAGAUGUACCCUUGAUGGCUUCUACAAAACUCGUCUGAUUCCAACAACCUAUGGAAUAAUAUACAGUAACAAUACAUUUAUUGUAGUUCUUUAUAGACACAUUUCUCCUAAUUCCUGACAGGUACAUGACCACAUCAUCCUGACACCGAGUCAUCGAUCAGCAACUCAGACGAUGAUGAACAAGGAUGGGAGUUUGAUCUCAACAUGAACCUUGGUUUAUCUUACCGGCUCUAUCACAGCCCAACAAAUUCUAUAGUCCACGGACUCGGUGCCUUUAGUAAUAUUUAGGCCUACCACUAUCUGGUACUUUUAUGCACUGCAUUUUGCAGGAAUUAGCCUACACAUCCUGCUGAUGCUAUGUAAUAUUGCUACCUACCACUCUGCAGUGCUUUCGUAUGGCCACCAAGACUUUGUGUAUGAUAGACCUAAUAUCUAUAGCUGUUGCAUAAACUGCUCUAUAUACAUAGCUUUGCUCUCUGGUGUAUAUAACAUUAUUUCAUAUCCGAGCAUGGACAAAAUGUACAUAGAUAUCAGCAAAGGCAUUCUAUAGAUAAACAUAUACAUAGUAUUAAUGUGUGCAUCUUCUCCAAUCAACAAUCAUCAGUAUCCUUUCUAAUCGUGCGCAUGGGCGCGCGUUUCCUACUAGUAUAUGUAGUAGCCCGAACCACACGCGUGGACAACGUGGCAACAAGAAAGAUGAGGAUUAGGUCAAGACUCGAGUCGAGCUCCAUAUUGCUUGUUGGGUGUUGGUGGCUGGUGGGUGUUCGCCAACCCUGGCCGGUUGCAAGUAGGUGACGACACUGACACGGACUCCGUGUGGCCGUAGCUUCCUCCGCGCGGAUUACGAUUGUACUCAGGCUGUAGGGGUCCACGGCACGGACGCAAUUGGCGAUUGCACAGUCGAGGUUGGUGGUGUAUCAUCACCACUGUCAGCCCUCACCCGUACCAAACAGAAUUUAUACCGUCGUCAACCGGUUGGUUGGAUCACCGCUGGUAUAUAUCUACUGGCUUCUCGCAUAUCAUUUUUUUUGUUUUUUUGGCGAGAAAUAUCACUACUGGUUUUAAGUGAACCGGCUAUGAUGCCUAAUUGCAUGUUACUGUUGCAGUGCACGAUUGAUUCUGUUUGCUUCUAGUUCCUAGCUGGUAAUGAGAAUGGAGCUGUCAAGUUCCUUUUUUUUUCCAUUUUUACAAAAGCAAGUUAAGAUAUCGGGCACCGACAUAUACAUAAAACCAAAUUUUUUUAAAAAAAAACAUUACAUAGAACCAAUUACAUGUGCACACAAGCACAUAUGGUAAGACAAAACAAGCAUUAAUCUCAGCUGCAUGGUUCUCAAUAUUAAGAACCAUUUAAACCACUUAUCUUGUGGGGCUAGAUUGAUGCUCACACCAGUGGACUCGUCCAUAUGUUGUUGCUAGCAAGUCAGCAGCAAACCUUCAGAAUACUUUGUUAAAUUUGGAGUUCUUUGACCAUGCAUGCAGUAAGCCAAAUGAGUCCAAUUGCAACAUUCAUGUCUCUUUACAAAGCUCAACUUCUUCUCAAAGUUUAGUAUUUGAAUUACAAAACGCAUCUGGGAUACAUGUAGCACACAACAUCAUGGCCACUACUGAUGGAUGAGCUUGUUAUGGAUGCAAACGAGUUUAUCUACAAACCCACAAUUAUUUAUGGGUUCGCAGACAAAACCGCUCGUAUCCCUAAAGGUGUUGAGGUAUUAUUAGCCCUGCUAAUGGUUUUGAGACCGGAUUACUUUGUUUUGGUGGAGCAUGGAUUGAGAUUUCAGAUGACAUGUUUAGGUUUGGACCUUCACUAAAAUUUCAUAGGUUUGAAUUGAAACCGGAAGCUCAAAAUAUGGUUUGAAACUAUAAGCCUAAAAUAUAAGUUAAACCACAUGCUAGGAUGUACGUAUACCAUUAGGCAACAGAGCGGAUGAUGUGGUACAAUAUGAAAGUCCUAGUCCUAGAGAAGGAGGCGUAGGCCCAGCCUAACUGCGUAGUCACUGUCGUUGAUCGAGAAGAAAGCUAUUGCGCAAUCAGUGUUGAUGAAGAUAGUGACGAUGGCAAACUAGCUCGGCGACACUAUUGGCAAGUUAUUAUUCUAAAAGUCAAAGAACCACCAUAUUCAAGCAUAGCACUACAGACGACUACUUCCAAGGAAAUCUAGUCUAGUGGAUAGCAGAAGUAAAACGAAAGGCAGCGUGAUGAGGACAUUGCUGUUGUAAACAACCUUUACAACGACCAAUUACUUAAGGUCGUGCACGUCACUUAAGUCAUGAAAUGAAUUCAUUACUCUCACUUUAUACUAUUGUUUCUAAGGAUGCUAUGCUAUUGAAUUCUUGUGAUAGUUUGAUUCUGAGGAAUAUGGGUGUGUUGCUUAUGAACAUGUCAAAGUGUGGAGCUCUGAUUAAUUUUAACUCAGAGUUAGAUUUUGUCUCAGAAUCAGACAGCCAUGCACUAAAUCCAUGAUAACUUCUUGUAUAGAGUCUAAUUAAGGUGAUCUCGAAUGUGUUUGAGAGCAAGACAAUAGUUUUGUUUUGGCUCAGGUCUAACUCUAGAUUCGUCAUGGAACAUUCUUUGUGAAUAAAACUGCGUGGCGUGUCACUUAGACCAAGUUAAGCCUUGUAAGCGUGUUUGAUUAAGAAACACUAUUUCCACACAUAAAAAAGGUAAGUUAUAAUAAUAUAUUUCAUAAUGUUUCUGAUUGAGCCUAGGUUGUCAAAAGUUUUAUUUUUUUUAUAAAUUUGAUCAAAUUUGAAAUCAAUUGACUUAGGUAAAAUGAAAUACAUUUUAUUUGGGGACGAAGUGAGUAGCAUAAAUAAAAGAUUCUUUAUUUUUUUUCUAAAUUAGGGCCUGUUUAAUUCCUAAAUAAUGCAAAUUUUUUAUGACCAAAAUCUUUUCGCUAUAUUUUUUACAAAUACAAACUUUACAGGUUGGUGUUUAGAUACAUACCAAAUCUUUUGGUGCAAAUAAGUGUGAGAGCAUAUAUGUCACCCAAGAACAUUUACACGGUUUUAGACCUCCUACUUCGCAAAACACAAAAGUUUAUAGGAUAUCUUUUUUGACAACUUUAAAGUGUUUAGUUCUCAAAUGUAAAAAAGUGAUCUGAAUCCAAAAUAUUUUAGCAUUUUGGGUGUAACUCCUUGUUGUGAAAAUUUAACACGCUUCUUGUGAAUUUAAUGUGCAAAAUUAUUGCUGAGAGUGCUCGAGAGUCUCUCCACUCUUCGGGAAAAUACAAAAGCAAGCAAGGAGCCAUCUCGAAUUCUCGAUCCAUUCCCCACCCAUCCAUCUGAAGGCGAGGGUUAUCUCGUACCUCCCCCGCAGGCCGCAUCCGAGCGCAAACAAAACUCCUCUCCGCGCCGGCCCUCCACCGGCGACCGCGCGCCCAUGGCUGCCUUACUCCGCACGGCCGCGGCCCUCGCGCCCCCGCCCUCGUCGCCGCUGCCCGCACGGGAGCCGCGUGGGCGGUGCCUGCGGCUCGCCUGCUCCCGGCGCGCGCCCGCCCGACCGCUCCGGGCGUGGCUGCUGCCGACUCCGCACGUCUUCUGUCGCGACGGGGCCCGGUUCCGGCGCCUGGCCGCCACCGAGGCCGACGAGGCUGCGCAGACGGCGACGCAGGUGAGGGUGGGUGUUCUGGUGGCCGUAGCUCGUGUAACCUCUGUCGUUCCUCUGUGUCCAAUGGACGGGUGGUUGCUUCAAUUGUGAAGAAUAGCUGUGAGAUUCCUGAUAUCGUUAGCGUCCUAGUAAAUUUGAAGUAGAAAAAUAUGAACCGGAGGUGACAUGUUGUUCAUUCUUUGAACAACAGGGUUGCCUAUGGUCUGUUUAGUGAUGGUAAUGAUCUGCAUUCACUUCUGACAACGAAUUAUUUGCUCUUACUUGUUUGGAGUAGGUAGAUACACAAUUUUUGUCAAAGCUACCGCUUCUUUUCGCUAUGUUUUGAUUAUAUGGCUGGGGAUACAUAAGUGCUGUAAUUUGGGGGAAUAAGCAGCUGGACCUACAUUCUUGAGUUGUUUUAUGUCCAGUUAAAAAUCUUUCAGUAUGUUGUUUGGUAAAUCAUGAAGAUUUCUGCUUUGCCUUCUUCAGUGCCCUGUAAAGACCUUGGUUAGUCAUGAUUAGUGAUUUUUAGGUGGUCCUCAAGAAGAUCCUGAUUUAGCAAUGUAGGACAGUUGUGAUACUUAAACUAUAUAGCCUCGCUGUCCAUGAUAGUUAUAUUUUCGCUGGGAAACAUUCGGAAAUUCAUGUUAAGUUAUGCUAAAUUAUGAUUCAUUUUCAAUAUAAGCUUGUUGGCUUCAUAACUCACACUCACUAGUCUAAUGUAAAUUUCUUUUGAAGUUUGAUCAAUAUUAGAGCGAGUAUUGGAUAGGACUUUUGCAAGUAAUGACUGCCAAAGUUUCACUAAUUCGAAAGCAUUAGCUAUCUGUUAGAAAAACCAGGGUGCUGCACUUUUAUGGAAAACCUUGGAAAAGUAGGGUAGUCGCAUCAGUGGUGCAUCUUUGUUUAGUGGAACUUAUCUGUACUUGUAAAAACACUUUCAUGUGAUGCUGCCACUCUGAUGGUGUGACAGCAAUAGCAGUACCCAGCUGCAUGCCUGUGCACCUGUGCUAAUUCAUGAAGAUGCUAGUCUCCUGUUUGAUCCUUGAAGUAUAGCAAAAUGCACAAUCUUGUUGGUUGAGGACAUUGAUUUGUUGCAUUUCACUAUAAAUGCUAUUAUGUUAUUAUGUUGGAAUUUUGUUAGAGGUCUUUGGAUUUGAAAAGUUAUAUAUCGAAGCCUUCAUUCUAGCUUUAGAUACAGUAUGGCACUGAUUUGUGUAACGCCUUUACAAUAGUUAAAUUGCAGUGCAGGGAUGCAAUCUUUCUGCAGAUUACAUGACAGCAACAUAAUAAUUUAAAGGAAAAUGUUCUAUUAUGUUAGGUUGGAAUUUUCUUUAAAGAUGGCAUAGUGCAACAAUAUCUUGCUUUCCUUUGAAUGCUUGUUUAAAAGCCGAAGAAAUUCAUUAUCAAUUCUAUCCACCUCCAUGUACAGAUAAUCUGUCUAUUGGAUGCUUGGGCUUUUUUGUAUGAUAUUGUUUUUCUAUGCUGCAGGAGGAUUCAGAAACCGAAGUUACUGGAGAUAGUGCUGCAGAUGAUGGUGCUGGAAGCACAGAUGAAACUCCAUCUAUUAUUGUGACAACACUGCAGUCAUACAGAGAAGCUCUGAUUAAUGAUGAUGAAGCAAAAGCUGCUGAGAUAGAGUCCUUUUUACUUUCUAUCGAGGAUGAGAAGAACUCUCUUCUGAACAAAAUCACUGCUCUAAAUGCCGAACUAGCAACUCAACGAGAGCGUAUCUUGAGGAUCAGUGCUGAUUUUGACAAUUUCAGGAAAAGGACAGAAAAUGAGAAGCUUAACAUGAUGGAAAAUGUGCAAGGGGAACUUAUAGAGAGCUUUUUGCCUGUUCUCGACAACUUUGAAAGAGCAAAAAUGCAAAUAAAGGUGGAAACAGAGGGAGAGGAGAAAAUAAAUAAUAGCUACCAGAGCAUUUAUAAGCAAUUUAUUGAGAUUCUGAAUUCACUGGGCGUUGAAGAUGUCGAAACUGUUGGCAAACCAUUUGAUCCUAUGGUAAGCUAGUCUUAGCAAAACAUCAUCUAGACUAAAAUUAAAUUCUGAGAUUUGCAUAUUCCACUUAAAGUUUUGUUGCUACACUACAUAUCUACUCGUACAUUUUUAGUAUUUCAGUGUAAUCAGGUGGUAGAGUCUAUUGACUAUUUGACUUCUGCAACAGAAAUGCUAAAUCUUUAUAGCUGUCCACAUCCGAGCAUUUGCAAGGGUCUUUUUUUUUCCUUUUAAAAUGAUUCCUUAUUGCACCUUGUGUUUCAGCUUCAUGAGGCUAUUAUGAGAGAAGAUUCAUCGGAGUACGAAGAGGGGAUCAUUCUCCAGGAAUUUCGAAAAGGUUUCAAACUCGGGGAAAGAUUACUCCGCCCAGCAAUGGUUAAGGUAUCUGCAGGACCAGGCCCUGAAGUGUCUGCAGGACCAGGCCCUGAAGUGUCUAGAGAUGAUGACCCUACAGUUGUGGAAGACAGUGUGGCACCUCAAAAAAUUGAAGAUGUUGAAGACGACGGUGUUGAUGGCGAUGCAGAAUAGGUGGAUGGAGCUUAAUCUGUGAAUCAACAAGAACAGGUCCAGAAAUUUUGAUGCUUUUCUGGAGCGUGCCAAGCAGGUAAUAGGAUAGUACCAAUCCGUUCAAGGUAGAGUUAGGUCCCCAGAUGUGCUGUUCUUCCCUGCUGCUGACAUGGGGUGUUGGUGUUGGUAUUGCGACAAAAUUUGUGUUCCUACCCGCCGUGGUCGACUUUUUGUUCUUACAAAGAGGAUUUUCAUGAUUCAUUGAUGCAACAUGAUAUUGUAAGGACUAAAUUGACUCUGAUUUGCGAUUGAUCCUCUCUGAAUUCCAUCGUUUGUACAUUCCGAUCGGAACGGCAGUGCCCGGGGCAAACAGAGUGCUGGAGUAUAUAGCAUGAUAAUUUAGAAAGAAAAUCGGACAUUGCCAAGCUUGCGAGUUCUAACAGAGAACUAUAUGAUUAAUAAUUACUAUAUCUCAGCAGCAUUUCAUGUUGGAAAUUCCUUUUACGAGUAGACGGAAAUGGAAAUCAGAUCACCGUCAUACUUCUAUGGGCCUAAUCCCCCCAAUGUGGGCCUUAACACCCUUGCCCCCAUGCCCAGCCCACGUCUUAUAUAUAGAGAGAGAGCCAUAAGAGGCAGCUGCCACCACUAACCCGAUCGGGUCGUCGCGCGCCUCGUCUGCCCCAACCCGCCGCCACGCCCCGUGCCCUACUUUUGCACCAGCGUUGGCCGAGCUCGUGACCGCCGUCGACGUCGAUCUCGUCCGUCAGCACUGUUCUUCCGCCCGCGAUCUGCAGCUGCGUUAUAUAUACUUGAGCCGAAGUCGUGCUGCCGCCUGCCGCCGGUGAUUUUCUUCUCUGGACACCUCUGCCGUCUAAGUUUUGCCUUGCCGCCUGAGUCAGCAUAUGGAUCCUGAAGUUUUGCCUAUAUGCAUGGUUUAAUCUAUUCUAAGUUUCUAACUGUAUGUGGUUAAGAGUACGUUAAUUAGCCAUUUGUUUAAUCCUUCUUCAUCCAACUGUUCUAACUCAGCCAGUCCAAUAAUUCUUUUGAUAUAUUAUUAGUUCAUCCAAUGAUAUAAAGACCCCUCUAUAUUCGUGUACUAGCGUUGUUUUUAGCAUAUACUCAAUCCAUCCCAAAUUGUAAGUUGUUCGACUUUUUUAAUAUCAAGUUUGAUCACUCGUCUUAUUCAAAGUUUUGUACAAAAUAUCACUUUUUUAUUGUGUAUUGGUUUAUUAAUAAAAGUUCUUCAAGAAUGACUUAAAAUUUGACUAUAUUUGCACAAAUUUUUUGAAUAAGUCGAGUGGUCAAACUUGGGGUAAAAAAAGUCAAACGACUUGCAAUUUGGGAUGGAGGGAGUAGCUUUGUAUAUAUUGCUGCAAAGGUUUAGAAAUUUGGUAAUGAUAUUUUCCUAAACCAUUGUUCUGGCAUAUUAUUGUGUAAAUGAUUAACUAAACUAAACUAAUAGUUUGCACGGUCUAAUGUUAGUAAACUUUUAUUAGAAAAUACCUUUUUACCAUGCUAAAUAUAUAUAGCUCGGAAUAUUUAUGUAAUGAUUAUUGCGUUCUUCUACCAUCGUAGGGACAUGUUUAGCAUUUUAGUAUUCCUUUUCCAUUUUGUUUCUAUUUCUUGGUGUACUAUUUUAUUUGUCUUAAUUUGUUUGUUGUAUCUAAUAUAUAUGCUCAUGUGAUCGUUGUUUGGUACAUUUAGAAGCAGAGCAACUGGUGAACAUUAUUCAAGAGCAAGAUUUUGAAGACGCAACAACAACAAAACAUUAUACAAAGUAAGUGUCCUUGAUCUUUUUGAUAUCCCAUUUAUCAUUGAUACAUACUGCAUGCAUGUGUGAGUUACUCAUGAUGACUUCAUAGGAUGUACAAUCUUCCUUGUUAGCUAGGUAUAUGAAGAGUAUUAAAUGCUUAGUUGCUUUACCUUUUAUUUACGACAUAUGAUGAUCUUAUAAAUUGUUGAUACACCUUAUUAUUGUAUAUGGAAUUGAUGGUGAUACUUGGUAAUGAAUUUAAUUGGAACAUGGAAUGAACAUCCAAGAAAACAUUGCAUCAACAUUUUAGUAUUCCUUUUCCAUUCUAUUUCUAUUGGACAUUUUAGUAUUCCUUUUUCAUUUUGUUUCUAUUGCUUGGUGUACUAUUUUACUUAUCUUCAAUUGUUUAUUUGUAUCUACAUAUAUAUAUGCUUAUGUGAUCUAUGAUCAUUGUUCGCUAUGUUUAGGAUAGUAAGUGGUGAACAUUAAAGAGAGAUUUUCAAGACUCUAAGCAGCAACAAAAAAAAUUAUAAAAGGCAAGUGUUCUUGAUCAUUUUGAUGUCUCAUUUAUCAUUGAUUAUAUACUGCAUGCACAUGUCAUACCUCAUAAGGACUUCAUAGGUUCUAGAAUGUUCCUUGUUAGCUAGGAUACAUGAACAUAGAUUCUUAGUUGCUUUAGCUUUUAUUUACGAUAUAUGAUUUUAUAAAUUGUUGAUACACCUUAUCAUUGCAUAUGGAAUUGAUGGUGAUACCUUGUAACGAAUUUAAUUAGAACAUGAAGUGAACAUCCAAGAAAAGAUUGCAACCACACGAACUCAUCAUUAGUUUUGCCUAAUUAAUUAGAGGAUCCUUGUGUGGACAUUAGUUUCAUACUAACAUGGAUAUGGAAGAAGGCUUCUAUAUUAGGUGGCCUUUGGAUAUAGGAGUUUUCUCCUAUGCUUGCCUAAAUCCUAGGUAUGGGAGAUUGCUUCUACAACUUGUGCUCUAUAAACUAAUACGCUUCGAGGGACCCUUUGGAAAGGCCUCGUAGUGAAACCUUGCCUAACUUUGGAAGUGUUUAAUAAGUUGUCCACCUUAGGAAAACUAGUAUCAUGUCAUGUGGAUAAAAAUCUACAACCUCUAAGAGUGUCUAAAACUAAUAUACUAAUUCUUCUCACGGUUAUGAGUGACCUAGAUCUCGCAUGUUAUAUUUAUAUUAAUAUUAAUUAUUAAUUUUUAUGCUAUGUUUCAUAUAUGCUUACUUUAUGUUAUUUAACUUAUUUAUAUUUAUAUGUAAUCAGCUAAUGGUUUUGGGAUAACACACUUUAUUAAUGAAAUGUGAUGACUAAUAAGCUUACUGGAGUAUAACUAGUGUUAGUUAUUCCUUGUUUUAAGCAUGUGAAUAUCAUUCCCUAUGCAUGCUGAGUACGAUGAUAUUCACGCUUGCUUUAUUAUUAUUUUGGAAAAAUACUGAAUGAGUACUUAGAUAGAGGAGUCUAGGCAUAUGUGUUCCAUAGUAAGCUACCUAUGGAAGAUUAGAUGUUCCAAUACGAGUUAGUUUUUGAUGUGUUUGAAUUAUUUUUGUUAAUGACUUUGAGUGAACUUUGUAAUAAUUAAAUUAUUUUAUUUAAAGCAAUAUUUAUAUUAUUCACUAAUGAUGUCAUUGUAUGGGUGUAAAACUGAUUCUGGUGCACAUAUAAUCCACUUGGUUCUAUUCUUAGAAACUUUUGCUAUUUUCUGUUACACUAUAUCCUUAGCCUUAUUUUUUUAUCCCCAACUUGUUGCUUGUUAAUUCAUUCCUCUUGUGUUUAUUCCUUGCCUCAACAAGCUUUUAAGACUAUCUCUUACCUCACUCUUUUGUAUCCUAAAGAUGGCUACAACUUAUUGGAAAAAUCCUAGGAGUCUUUUUUCACCAUUUAGUCUAAAGAAACACUUAGUUUCAAGCACAUUUAGUAACUAGUUUAGGCUUGCUUGUGUAUUUGUUAUCAUGUUUAUGCAUGAGCUGCAUCUUUGUAAAGUGUGUCAUGUAUUGUAGGUUGUUGUCCAUGACAACAAAAGUUAUUGUUAGCUACAUUCCAAAUUAUAAGACAUUUUAGCUUUUCUCUAAUCAAGAUAUAGUGUAUAUCUAAAAAUGCAUAUCAAAAGUUGUGUCUAAAAAACCAAAAUCUUUAUAAUUUGGAAUGGAGGGAGUGAUUAGUUGGGGGGUUUAAUCUUGUUAUUAUUUGAAUCAUGUUAUGUGAUAUUCUUGUUCUUUGUAUCUAAUUUUUUAUACCAUGCUAUGAUAUCUUGCAUUCUAUACCUUAUUUUCACACGUUAUAUCUUGCUCAUACCCUUUCCAUGAUCACCCUCUUUUCACCCAAAAAGAUGGUUAAUACAAUGAGCAACACUGGAGGCGCAAGUAACAACACUGGCAACAAGAACCCACCAUCUCCUUUGGCCCCUGUGACAAUGGAGAAGAUGAUGGCUAUGCAGACUUAGAUUUUGCAAGGAAUGGUUCAGAUAUUGACUUCUUUCCAGCAAGCUCAAGCUCAACAGAUGCAAACUCCACCUAGGGAUAGUCAUGGAGAAUUUAUGAAGGGUUGUCUGCCGAUUUUUGAUCAUUGUUCUGAGCCUAUAGAAGCUGAUAAUUGGCUCAAAUCAGUGGAGAGGCACCUAGAGAUCGCUCUGUGCAAUGAUACAAAGAAGGUCUUAUAUGCUUCUGGACAGCUUCAAGGAGCAGCAUUGGAUUGGUGGGUCUUCUACACCCGCUCUCAUGCAACUCCAGCUAAUAUCACCUGGCAGGAGUUUAAGGAUAGCUUUAGAUCAUACCAUAUGCCACCAGGACUAAUCAAGUUGAAAAAGAAGGAGUUUCUGAGUUUAAAGCAAGGAUCCAUGUCUAUCAGUGGGUAUCGAGAUAAAUUCAUUCACUUAUCACGUUAUGCCCCUAGCGAGGUGGAUACUGAUGAGAAGCAAGAUCACUUCAUCGAAAGGUUUAGACCUUGGUGUUCAGUACCUACUAGUAGCUCACUCAUUUGACAACUUCGAGCAACUCGUAGAUAAAGCAUUGGUAGUGGAGAACAAACUACAUGAAAUAGCAGAGAAGAGGAGAAUGACAUUCCAUAGUCAAAUAGAUAACAGUUCUCACAACUACCUUGUCACUCAAAUGGGAUCACAUGUUUUCCCUAAAGAUCUAUGAAAGCCCAGAUCAAGCUCAACCCCAACUCUAUAGUACACAAGUGUUCUGUCCAUCAUCAACUAUUUAUCCUCAGGCAAUGUCCAACCGUCAGAGUAUUCAAGCAAAAAGAGCUUAUUUCUACUCCAAGCAGGAAGGGCAUUUCAUCCGCAAAUGCCCAAACAAGCGUUUGCAUCAAGCUAAAAGGAAGGCUAUGAGGCAUAACAUUAUUAAAGGUGGCAACUAAAGAUGCUUGUAGUGACCAAAACGUUGCAUUUAGUAUGUCCUCAUCAACACAAUAACAUUUGUUUGUUUGGAAUCAGGAGCAAUGUAGCUUUGUACUUGCUAAAUAAAUGGUAUUAAAUUUCUUUACCACUCAUAUAUUAACCUCAUGCAAAUAUGAAGAGUCAUCUUUUGCUAGCCUUUACAAAUUUGAAAGAUGAGAUUCUAUUAAGGGGUAGUUUUGCCAUAACUUAUUCUUUUAUUUUGAGAUGGGAAUAAAAAACACUAAUAUGGUCUUUUUCUUUCAAACUUAAAUGCACGACCUCGUUAACUAACUCUAAUGGUGCACUCUCUAGGAUAAGUGGAGUUAUCUAGUGACCCAUUGAAAACGCUAGUGUAAUGUUCAAACUGGUGCAAAUGAGUCACAUUUACUCUUCAGUGUCUCUAAAGAACAAUUCUAGUGAGUGUAAAGACCACACUGAACUUAUUUUCUCUAACCUUUUCAAAUGGCUAACUCUAAACUAAUUUCCACAUAAAUACGAACACAUUUAGCACUGAGGUAGCAUUUUUAAAAUAUUUUGCAAAGGUUUUCACUUGCUUCCUCGCCAUGCCACUCAAUCUAGCACAUGUGUCAAUAGUCCUCAACUAGUAGCACUAGAUAAUUGCAUUAGCAAAAGAAUUCAUCUUGUACCACUAUCUAUUCAAAACCGACCAUUCACUUCUCUACACACCUUAGGCCAGUGCAAAUACCUUUGCCUUCAGACUUUAGCUUCCUAUUCUAUCCAUCUCCAUCAUCUUGUAUCACUUGUUGAGCACUUCACUUCCAUGGUCCUUGCCAUCUCCUCUAUAGCUCCAUGUAUGUCUCAACUAGCUUGUGAAUUAAGCACCUAGUCAUCUCACAAGAAAAACAUUGGUUCACCUAAUGUUGUUACUCAAUUACCAAAACAAAUCAAGACUUUGACGUUGUAUUUUCUAUAAAUAAAUGUUGCUUAACUCUUACUAGUACUACUAUCCCCUCGAUCUCAAAUAGAACACAUGCACCUAUUUCAAAAUUCAAAAUUUGUUAUCUUUGACCAAUAAUUAAUAUGAUCAUAUAAAAAGUUUAUACUAUACAAGUAGGUUAAGUUAGAUUUGCCUAUAGAAACAGUGCUCAUCGGGCAUGAGUCAAGUGAAAAAAAUUAUGAUACAAGCAUAGUGGUUGAUAGAACUCUCGAUAUCUAGCAGUAUCAAAUUAGCAAUAAACUUUCAUAUGCAAUCGUGAUAAAAAUAGAAAAAAUAACAACCACCUCCUCUUUGUAUCAGUAACUGCAAUGUUGCCUUGCCAAAGAUUUACUGCUAUUAUAUACUUCCUCUGUUGAUCCAAAAAUUUAUUUACCUCCAUCGCACAAUGCCUACCUCUAGACUCUAGAUAAAAUACUUAUUGUUGAAUGCAUUCAUGAUCCAUCUCAAAUUUAAAGUCUAUAUUCUAUCAUAUUCAUUUGUCAUACGAUCAACCAUACUCUUGUUGUACUAUAGCUAUACCAUGCACAUAUUGUAUAUAUGUAUUUGCAACUAUCUUAUUUUACCCUAGGGUCCAUUUGGAUCCUUGAAAUUUAUUCUAAUAAUUAUAAUUUAGACAUAGAUUAAUUAAGCUAAUAUAGUAUGGAAUAUAAUUAAAAAUUUAUGUUAGGCAUACAAGGGAUGUACUUAUAUGUUACAUUUCUAUUGUAGAAAAAUAUGUUAAAGAAUGUGCUAUAAAUUGUAGAAUAGAAUUAUACAUAGUGAUCUAUAAAAUCCAUUUCCAUCUCUUAUCCUAUCAAAUUGAGAUAGUCUUAUUUGUGAGUAUGGAAGAGUUAUAGAAUCUUAAAUCUCAAGCCAAAUAACCUACUCCAUUAUGUAGAUUUUAAUUCCUCUAAAACGAGGGAUACAAACGGCCCCUAACAUUAAAUAACGAAGGGUGUUUUUUGGUUUCAGGCAUUUUUGUUUUUUAUUUAUAUUUUCAGGAAUUUCUCGGACAUUGACUAAUACGAAUCUAGCUAGCUGCAAUACCGAUAUGUGUUACAACUUGUGUGGUCUUGAGUCCUGUUUGAAUACUACACCUAGUUUUGAUUCUAUAAAUUGAAUCCAAUUGAAGUAAUAAGAUUCUAGGAAUUGCUUUCAGUGAGAAUUGAAUUAGCCAGAAUGUAAUUGAAAUCUAAUAUUCUUGCUUGGUUGUACACAUAUAUUAUUUCUAAAAUUUAAAUUACAAAAAUUGUUUGGAUAAAAAAAAUAAGAACCACCUUAUAUGUAUCUCUGGCCAUUUUGUCUCCCGCACAUCCCUUUGCUAGUGGAUGAUGGCACCUCAUACCAGUCGUUGAUGAGGCAAUGGUGAAGCUAGAGCAAAUUAGAGGGAGAGGCACUUACCUCGUGGGUGCAUGGAGUUGUGCUAUUGGGGAUGCACAUAUGGUGAAAAUAUAGGAAAUACUACUAUUUUUUACAAAAUUAGGGGGGGGGGUAGGGGGGAGGGGGUGCGUUUGCACCCCGUAGUGACUACCUAGCUUCGGUCGUAUGAUGAGGGCUAUGGCACCUUGGACAAGUUAUUUUGUCUCUCACGCUAUUUCUACGAGCACAUAUACACAGACACUAUCCGUACGAGUAUUUUUAAAGGAGGCACAUAUCGAGAAUCAUGUGGAUUUGUUUUUUUCUAGAGCUAUUGAACUGUUGAUCUUUUUUAAAGAAACAAAGAUCCCUAACACUAAGUUAUUAAUAUCCUUGUGACUAGGAUUAAUUCUUUUAUUAAAAAUUGAUCAAAUAUAUAGUACCAAAUUAUGAUAAUUAACUUUACAAUAUAUAUUUACGAGUAUAUAUAUUUUUUAGUUUACCAUGGGAGAGCAAUAAUCUAUCAAGGCUCUAUUUUAAUUUGAUACAAGACUUAGUAUGACAUUAUCAUAUUAUUGCUAACAUUAACUUAUAUUAUGAAUGCCAUAGUCAUCACAAAAUAAAUUAAAGUUUUAAAUAUUUUAUAAAUAUGUAGCAUCCAUGUUGUCAUGUUUCCACGAACAUUUAUAGCUUUUUUUCUUUGUCCAUUGUCCAUCCGCCGUUUUUUGCCUUUCUUUUGUUCUGGUUCCGUUUGUUGAGAUAUACGUAAUUUGUAAAGCUCUAAGAGAUAUAUACAAAUUAUAAUAUAGAUAUAAUUUAGUACACAUUUUUCAUGAUGCAAAUUCUGGGUCCACUUCCCCGGGCCCAUUAGACAGCCCACGGGCUCCGCACCCCCAAUUUGUGAGCACAGAAAAUUUCACUGCAAUUGCUAAAAAAGGGUAAAAGUCACUGCAAAACCGUUGCGGCGAACACUCGAGCACCCCCGACCCCCGUUGAGAUGGUCUCCAUGGCGGCCGCGGCGGCGGCCGUGGGCGUGCUGCUGCCGUUCCCGUUCUACUACGCGCUGUGGACCCACCCACAGCGUUGGGUGGACUUGUGCGGCCGCGGCGCCGACCCGUGCCGGCGGAUGGCGCAGGUCUCGCACGCCAUCAAGGCGCUUCAGCUCCUCGCGCUCGCCUCCGUCGCUUCAUUCUCCUGGCCCCCGCCGCUCUACUGCCCCGUCCUCCUCGCCGUCGGCCAGUACCUCAACUUCAAGUGAGUAACCGAUUCGUCCUUCUCCUGUUUGUUCUCCCAGUAGGCGAGGCACCGUACAUGAUCCAUCCCGCUUUAAGCAAUAGCUGCGGGAUUUUAGAAUCUCUGCAGCUUGCAACUGUUUCUGUUGGUGCAAAGGCGCAUUUGAUUAAGGAGCUCUUGUAUUGUUGUCUGCCUUGACUGAAUUACGAAUUGUAAGGACUACCUUGAAUGAAUUGAGCUACUGGCUAUCACAAUGAUACAUGGCCGAAGAUAUGUCUAAGCUCUCCUGCACCUAAAGAAAAAGAUUCAUGCCAAGCCUGACGUCUUCUGUUCACCUUAGGUGAAUAACACUAACUGUAUUCUAUUCAACGGUUCUCAGCUGUAGGAAUUGGAGGUUACUGGUUUAGAAUUUGAAGGAAUAACUUAUUACUUCAGUUGUAUCUUGUGCAAGGCUUAAUUUCUCUUUCCAUUUGGAGCCGCAGAAUUGCUUCAGGUGAUUAAACACUGGUAAAUGUGAUUUCGAAACUAGGUACAAAGAAAUGGCUAGGGAAGUGGAUUAGGCAAACAAUUAUCAUUUUCUCCCUUUUAACACUCAUGGGUUUAGGCACACUGGUAGAUUAAUGGUACACCAUCUCUUGGAAUUUUCCUUGUCUUUAUAUAACCAAUGGUUUGCAUCAUGGUGCUAUCUUCAUUGAUAGAUUUUUAUUCUAAAUUUGUCUCUGUUAAAUUGUUGAUAAACCACAAAAUGCUGAUAAGAUCAUGCUGUAGGCUUGGGACUCAACUCACUGUUGUAACAGAUGAUAACAAAUUUGCCUUUUUUUUAUCACAUAUGGAUAACCUAUGUGUUUCUUUUUUGAACAAGGAGGUUAAUGCCGACUAAUCUUAACACUGGUUACCCGUAGGUGUCGUCAUAGUGUAAGGUGUGAGUGGAGUUAGUGUGGUAUGCCGUAUGUGUAACAUUAUGUAAAUUCAUUGCUUGCUUAUUUCCAUUUGCGUCGAAAUCACUGCCUUGAAGUUUCAGUUGUGAUUGUGAUUUAGUAAAAUGGAAAAUGAUGGUAGUGCUGAGGUGAAUGAUUAGGAGAGAGGUGGAUAGUACCAAAGAUUGGUGCGCUCAAAAUGAGUAGAGUUAGAUGGCUGGCUAGUGGUUACAAAGGCGAAACAGAAUUCCAGCCAUAACACUAGUUGAAUAAUGAUAAACAAGAGUAGCAGAAAAUCUUGCUGUGUGAACUAGUACAAAGAAGAUCCUGAUCUCAUCAUAUGCAUUCCAUUUUAUCAAUAUCGUAAUACUUCUACACUACAUGGACAUAGUACUAUAACGAGGGAGUUCAUAGUCAUCGAAACUUUGAAGUUCGUUUGUCUUCCAGUAUGUAUAUGCUGCUAGAUUGGUCAUGAUAGUGUAUUGAUUCUCAAUCCAUGAUAUACCAUCAAGGUGUCUAUGACAUAUGGGGCCCCUCCAGAGUCACUGUCAAUGGUAUAUCAUUGGAUUUAAUGUUUAUUUGGUGGCAUGGGAGGAAUUAUUCCAUUGAAUUAUUAUUUGGCUAUCUUCUUUGAUAGGUCCUUGCCAUAAAACUUUGUCUCUGUUGAAUGUUGAAAUAUCUUAAAAAGGCUUUAUAAUUGUGCUACCGAGAUAGUGGACUGGUCAUACUGCAAGAUAAGGGGGUUCUUGAAUUCCUUAACAAUUGACAUAAAACUUGUAUUUGAAUGCAUAUGUAUAACCCAGUCACGUAUUUCUCCAAAGAAUUUAAUGCUCGCCAACCUAAACACUGGCACAACUCCUCAUGGAGUAAGUGUAAAUGAAUUUAGUGGGGUAUGUGUUACAUCAAGUGAAUCCAUCGAUUGGACCGGUGGUUUCUGUGCAUACGAAAAUCCAUGGCCUUAAGUUUAGUACAUUAAUUGUCAUCGUCACUGCACAUUUAGUAAAAUAAAAAAUAAUGUAUAGAACACAGAUGAAAUCACUACUCUUCUGUAUCUAACGCAUACUAGCUAGAUUAGAUCAGAGGUGGAUAGCACCAAAGAUCAGGCCUCCAGUAGAUGUCGUGCUGGCACUGCUGCAUGGGUCCGGCUGUUGUGGUCACAGAACUAGUAGAGUUAGAUGGCUGGCUAAGGGUAACAAAGGUGAAACAUAAUUUAAGUGGCACGAUUAGUUAGAAAAAUGAUAAACACAUGUAGCAGAAAAUCUUGUCGUUUGAACACAAGAAGAUCCUGGUCCAGUCAUACAAAUUAUAUUUUGUCAUAUUCCAUAAUACUUGUACACAGAAUGGGAAUUGUACUGUGAGUGUUGCCCUGCUUUCUUCUAUAGUAUUGUGAGGACGUGAGGGAGUUCAUAGUGCAUCCUGUCUCUAAGGAUUGUAUUCUGGUUAUACGUGCUGUUCACAGUAUCUGCCUAUGUCUGUUCUGCUAUUCUGAAAUUGGCCACCAUAUUGUGUUUCAUUAUCCGGUUACUUCGCACUCAUGUCUUGUUAGAGUUGCAACUAAAAUUUUACCUAGCUGUAAAGACCCUAAAUUGUAUUCAAUGUAAUGAAGGACGCACAGUUCAUUGCUUUUGUUCCUGAAACCUUUGUUUCUUUUCAGGGUGUACCAGCUGCUUGGUGAGUCUGGUACAUACUAUGGCGUUCGAUUUGGAAAGAUGAUCCCAUGGGUGACAGAGUUUCCCUUUGGCUAUAUCAAAGACCCACAGUAUGUUGGGAGUAUGCUUAGCCUCGUCGCACUUCUGUGCUGGGUUCCACUUCAGUAUGUGUUGUUGUGGUGCCUUGGUUAUGUUUUCAUGAUGUGGAUCGAACACAAGGAAGAUCCAGCCACUCGUGCCAAGGUCAUCUCCUAAUUGCUUGGUUAUGGCAGCUGAUAGUUUCCUACAGGUGCCCCAGUGACAUUGCAUAAAUAUUCUUUGAAAAAUUUGGUACCUGAUUGCUGAGAGGUGAUGCGCCCCCAAGUUUAAGACUGGAGUUUCUAUGUCCAAAAACCUUUACAAAGUACUGUGGCAACCUCUAUUCUUGAGUAAUUCAUGUCAAGCAGUAUGGUUAUAGACUUUAGUUGUAGCUUGUUGGGUAUGAGAUCAUCUUGUACCCUGGGCAACUAUGCAACCGGGAGCGCUUGGUUGUUGCUGGGCAAAUAUUUUGACCUGGAGUUAAAUGCUUGCGCAUGGACACGUGGUAUGAAUCCAUGAUCGGGACCCAUGAUUAUCCAAUGAGGAGGUUCUAGUCAGUAAGAAUUGUAACUUUAGUCGAAACUUAGUGAGGUUUCUAUAGACUGCAUAUGUUCUUGUCCGAUUCCGAGAAAUCUCACUACAUAUCUAUGGCUCAAUGCUCAAUCUCUAGCUGCUGAGACACAGUCUAAAGCACAACCACUUUUUGUCCCAUAAUAUAAGACGUGCUAUCUCACAUAUAUUAAUGCAAUAGUACUAGUGUUGUGAGAGAGAAUUAAAUGCUUUUUUGUUCUUUGAAACAGGGGUAGUAAUUAUAGGACAGAGGGAGUAAUAAAGUUGUAGUGCUUAAAAAGACUUAAAACUUUGUAGCUAAAACUUUUUUCAUUUAAGUUUAUUUAGUAGCCAAAUAUUUAAUAUAAGAUUAUGAAUAUUGAUAUAAAAAGAUGACAUCUUAUAUAUAGUCAGAAGUGGGUGUGUGCUGCAGUGGUUGAGAGGUGUUUUGAGCAGUCACUAGGUCGUCUUGGGUUCAAUUUCAUAAAUGAUAUUAAUAGAUGUCCAUCGGUUCAUAAAGGCAGUCAUGAGCCCGUCUUUAGAAAUGGCCGAUAAAUGGUGACCAUUUUCCAGAGGCAGACUCGUUGCUCACCUUUGUCAAUGGAAAAUACUUGCUAUUGUGUAGGUCUUGCAACCGUAUGACCAAUUGUGACGACAAGAUAAAACUGGUUCAUGCCUAACGGUUUGUAAUGUGGUUGUUGUAAACUCCCUUUCUCUAGCUAGAAGUGCCAUUUUACCAAAUUAUAUUUUUUGUCUAUAUUUUCUAUUAAAAUAAUAUUAUGUUAAAAAAAAUCCAGGCCUACAAUUCUGAAAUUGAUUAGGUUCAUGACUCAAGUUGCUCGCGGUCCUCUCAAUAGAUUACCAUAUCUAUCCAUAUUGGUGGUGCUACAUAUAUAUAGUACAACCCAUCGGAUGAGGCUGUCUUUUCAUUUGAUGUAUCUUGGUUUCCUUGGAGUUGGUAACUUGUUCUUGCCAUCUAGCAUAUCAAGAAUCUCUCGCAUGGUGGGCCGGUCCAUGGGAUUCUCUUGUGUGCACAAAAGUCCUAUCUCAAUGCAUCUUCGUAUCAUCUUUAGCUGAGUGUUUUCACACAAUGACGGAUCAAACAACUUCUCCAUUUGUCGAGUUUUGUUCAUAAGAAAGUUCAUUCGUGAAGCUUGCUGCAGGUUCCAAGCCUGUGAACAAAACACAAUACAGAUGAUAAAGGGGGCAGUUUGCUAUAGGACAUGCAAAAUGAUGUCAUUUUUUUAUGUGGGACAAGAAAAAAACAGAAAGCAUUUUGCUUUUUUUUUUUGGGCGGGGGGGGGGGGGGGGGGGGGGGGGCUAUGAGGUUGUGUAAAUUUGAUGGCUGGCAAGUGAGAAUACUUAAUUUUUUGAACAUUUCUCUGGUGCAGGCUAAAUCCUGUCCAGUAGCAAAUUACGUUUUUUGGGGUGUCCCGCAGCAAACCGACAUCAUUUUGCAUGUCCUGUACCAUAGUUGGCCAUAAAAAGUGCAUUUUAGUACUUAUUACUCCGAUUGAUAGUGUAAAUCCUAUUAUUUAGUUUUGCUGUGUGAAAUAUACAGUACAUCUCUUGAGGAAAACAAAAGGGUCGUUCUCUAGUAUUUCCCUAGUCAGCUAAUGAUGUGGAUGUUUAGUGGUAGUUGCAGUGUCAUAAAAAUUUAAUUGGCGCAUUUAUUGCCCAUUCACUUAUUAUUAUUUUUCGUCACUCUUGUUCCUGCCAAUAAGAGCAUGUACAACCCAAAGACGGGUUCCGUCUCUAAACGUCUCGAAUCUAUCAUACAGACAGGUAUAAAGACAGAUCAUACAACCCACAGACGGAUGUCUGUCUCUAAGAUGUUUAAUGAUUUGCAUGUAGCUAGGAUCAAUUAUGAAUAUCAACUUGUAUACUAUUGUGUGGCUAUUUGAUAGAAGACAGGUUCAAGCAUAAAUAAGAUGAACAUAAUUAUAAUAUUUUAAAACCAUAUAAUAUAUAAUAUACAUUAUAUAUAAAGAUGAACAUAAUUAUAAUAUUUUAUAAAACAACUAAUAUGAUAUAUAUUAUAUAUAAGAUGAACAUAAUUACAAUAUUUUAAAACCACCAAUAUAUAAUUGCAAUGUACUGUCUAAUUUUCUUUGUUUCCGUAGCGUUGCUAUAUGUGUUCGAUUAGAUCAUUCUUGAGUUUCUUGUGUGUCCCCGAGCUUUGAUAGCGGAAUUCCUACGAAGCACCUCUGUGAAGCAUGGAUUAGGGUUGUCGCUUGUAUGUACUUUAGGUGGGAGCACUAUCGUCGCACUCGGAUUCUCAUUCAAAUCUAAAGCAACUCUAACUUAUUCCUUCUCAUCUUCCACUAUCAUAUUGUGAAGGAUAACACAAGUCUGCAUUAUGUUGAUAACGUCUGCCUGCUUCCACAAUUUUGCAGGUCGUCGAACAAUAUCAAAGCGUGACUGCAGUACACCAAAUGCGCACUCGAUAUCUUUCCUUGCCCCUUCUUGCUUCAAUGCAAAUAAUUUGUUUUCAGCCGACUGAGGGGCCGUUACUGUCUUCACAAAUACCGCCCAUUCAGGAUAUAUCUUAUCAGCAAGAUAGUAACUCAUAUCAUAUUGUGUCCCAUUUACAUAAUAUUGUACUAUCGGAGCUUCCCCUUUUAUAGCCUGAAUGAACAGUGGAGACUUGUUUAGGACGUUAAUGUCGUUCUGAGACCCGGCCGUACCAAAGAAAGCAUGCCAUAUACGAAGAUCAUGGGUUGCCACUGCUUCUAGAAUCAUAGUAGGAAUGCCUUUAUCACCACGAGUGAACAUGCCAGCCCAACCUUUCGGGCAAUUCUUCCAUGCCCAAUGCAUACAAUCGAUGCUACCUAACAUUCCAGGAAAACCACGAGCCUCGUUUUCUUGUAAGAUUUUCUCCAUUUCAUCACUUCUUGGAGGACGUAAAUACUCUUCACCAAAACAUUCAAUAACUCCUUCAGCAAAUUUUUCCAAAAUCUCCAAACAAGUGCUUGCAGCAAUUUUCAAUACUUCAUCAAGUUGAUCAGCCGAGGAGCCGUAAGCUAGCAUCCUAAUAGCGGCAGUACACUUUUGAAGUGGUGAAAGAGAAUCCCUACCGGUUGCAUCGAAUCUUUGGGUAAAAUAAGGAGACCACCCCCUAAGACUAUCGACGAUGCGUAGGAAUAAUGGCCUAGUCAUCCUAAAUCUUCUACGGAACAUCUCAUCGGUAUAGAUAGGAUUUGCAGAAAAAUAAUUAGCAACAAGAUCAUCGUGACCUUUUUCUCGAUUUCUUGGUAUGUACCUCCUUGGUCCACUCUGUCGACGGCGAGGUAUAGUUGAUGAUUCUCCAUCGAUGUCGGCCUUCAAUUCAUCUCGAAUCUCCCUUAUGAAUUCUUCUACGAUUUCAUCCUCAGCUAGAAAAUCUUCCACAGUUGAUCCAGCUAGAAAUUUCACUAACAAAUAGGAUAAAAUUUCACUAACAGAUAGGAGCAAAUCUAGAUCAAUUCACAGGAUCGGGUGAUUACCAAGAUGGAUCCCAAGCUGCUGAGCGCAUAAACGAAGGAGAAGCUGGAUCAACGUUGGCCGGAUCCCACCAAGCAGUAGAUGGUGAAGUGGGGAAUGGAAACCCAGUAACCCACUGUUCGAAGACGAUGGAGCCGUCACAGCGCCGGGGAAGGCACCUCCACCAGAUGUACCAAUGGAGAUAGGAGGCAUCGUUGUGCUGUUGCUGAGGGAACGGGAGAUGGGGUACCUCGGCGCCAUCGCUGUUGUUCCGCUUCCGCGACCUAGGGUUCGGCCCGCGACAUCCGCGCCCAACGACGAGCCUCCACCCUGACUGAGGUUGCAGGCCGCCGCCGCCGCCAUUGCCGCUGACGCAGUAGCCGGGGCACCCUUGCUCUUCUUGUUUGCAGAUGCUAGCGUGCUCUUCCUUGCUGAGGCACUCAACAUCGCAGCCGCCAAAGGUUGGAGCUCUCGAUUGAGGAAGAAAGCUGCAGCGCAGUGCCUGCUUCACCGGUGAAAUAAGAUGAGGUAGAGACGGAUUUGGCGGGACGGCUCCCUCCCGCGCGCGCCAAAACUUCACGCAUGCGUGCGAGCGCCCCGGAUCUACGCGCCGUCGAGACAAGGGGACGACUCCUACAACGCUGCUUGGCUGGUCUCCUCUGCAUCGGUGCACGGGACGACUCCGUCCCUUCGCGAGACGACGGAAGGCCCAUCUUCAGAGCUCAACGGGGGUUUUUCUAUAAAAAUACCGACGACCCGUUGUACAUGCCCUAAGGUACGUGAAUGAGAGAAUACUAACUGACGUGAUGUUUUUAUCUGAAAUAUUUUUGAAUCAGUCCAAUUUACGUCUCUUGAGUGAAGAAGUGCAAUUUUCACUCUCAAAACUCUUAUGUCUUAUUAAUACCCCACACAAUCAAUUUCUAUUGUAUUACUAAAUCAAAUUGGUUCUGUAACCUCCCACUCAUUUUUUUUGGUUGCUGAUAAUAGUAAUAGUAACUUACCCAUUCAAGUGAAGGUUGGCAACGAGCAGCUUCAGAUAUGCACAUACUGCUAAGGAUAUCAAGGAGGGUGACGCCAAAACCAUACACGUCUUUCUUCAUCAAGGACUCUCCUUUCGUCGAAGACUUAAGCCGACGGUUGCCAUAAUAUUCAGGAGCCGUAUACCGCCUGAAUUGGUGGACAUAUAUAAAAGCUUCCGUUAACAUAAGGAUAAGGAUAUGCACACAUGUCAUGGAAUAUGGAUGAAGGGUAACGGAAAACAGCUAAACUGUAAAAGUUCUGCUAUAUCGCAACAUGUUUCAAAUGACAUAUAUAACUGCGCAUGUUUUGUUUUUCCAAAUUAAAUAUGCGGUGCGCAUUUGAUCACCAGACUAUACCUAUGGCAGUGGGUGGAAUGACAUCUUACAUUGAGCCCACAAAGUGGUUGUCAGAUAAGUCAUUCUCUCCGAGAUCCAACUCUCUAGCUACUCCAAAAUCACCUAUCUUGGGAUUGAAAUCAGAAUCCAAGAGGAUGUUGCUUGGUUUUAAAUCCAAAUGCACAAUGUUCCGAUCAUGAAGGAUUUUAACGCCUUGGGCUAUCCCCUGAAUUAUGUGAAAUACAGAGGACCAAUGAAGUCUUGACCCUGCAGAACAUAUAUUAUACUAAUCAUUGCUAGUAAGCGAACUACAGUGACAGUCAGCAAAAUACGACAUAACUAAGAGACAAUCGGUCCCGAUAUCUGUGAAGUGUUAGUCUAGGCAAUAUAUUUCAGUGGAAACAUGUAUAUGUGUACCUAUACCAUUGAUAAUUCUGUCCAGGCUCGCAUUCGGCAUAUAUUCUCCAACCAUGAAAGAACUUGAUACUUGGGUUAUUCUAAAGCUUUCAUCUUCACUUCCUUCAUCUUCAUUUACUUCCUCGACGGCAAGGCAAUAUCCCAAAAAGUUGACAAAAUUUUUGUGACGAAGUUUUGAAACAAGCCUAAGUUCAUCAUGGACGCGCUCAUGCAGACGGUCUGCCGGAAUGCGAGAGGAAGGAUUAUAUAGCUUGAUAGCAACCAUCAACCCGUCAUCUAAUACACCCUGUAAAGUAUAUGUUUAGUGAUGAAUUCAUUACAGAUAUGCUAUCCAAUUGUAUGCAUGGGCUGAAAAGCGCUAACAAAGGACAACACGCUAUGUGCAAACUGGAAAAUAGGUAUGUGGAAAUAAUAUGAUUAUGAUCAUCGGAAAAAGCGUGAAAACAAAAUUCGCCAAACCGAGCACAUGCAGUGUGCCAGUGCAUGUAUACCUUGUAGACAAUCGAAUGUCCACCUCGUCCAAUGAUGUUUUCCUCUGAAAAGUGAUCGGUAGCAGUCUCUAAUUCAGACAAACUAAACUUUUUCAAGCCUGCUGUGGCUUCUAACCCAGAGAAUCUCAAAUGUCGUAUCCCUGCGGGUGGUGAAAUCAACGCAAGCCGAUUUUAUUCUUUUAUGUCUGGCCAUUUCGUUUGACUAAAAAAUCAUGACCGAAAGUAGACUCCGCAGAAUGACGGGUAGAUUCGGUGGAUAAUCUCAAGCGAACAGGCUUGAAAAGUUGAUCUUACUUGCUUCAAUUCCUAGGGAGGAUGGCCAUCGGGACCCUGACCUCGGUGGGUGUGCAGGCGGAGGAGCACCAGCACCCGGCUGCACUAGCAUGUUCAAGCUCAGGGUGAGCUGGGUAGUGGUGGCGAAGACACCCAGCACCAUUUGCCGCAGGAUGUCGUCCUGCACCCGGCGCAGCUGCCUGGCCAUGGCCCCAGCCGCGCAGACACGGUGCAUCGUGCUCCUCUUUUGGCAGCUGGUGACGAGCUUGAGGGCGCGGUCCAGGCUCCUCUCGAGCGCCGCCAUGGCGCCGUCCAUCGCCGGGUCGCUCGUCGCCGCCGCCGCCGCCGUCUCCAGGAGUUGCGACAGGAUGGAACUCACCCUGGUUGCGAGCUGUUCGAUGUCACGGCACUCCUCCUCGUUCCGGCGAACCGUUUGCACCGCCCUCCUGAUCGCUAGAGCCAUCUUCACAAUCUGUUUCGCCGUGCCAAUUGGGUCCGCCAUGCGUCCCUCCCGCCGUACGACCUGGCAAAGUAAAGAUCGAGGAACCUUCACUGUUCACAGCGAAUCCCUGCACCCCAAUUGAAAAAUGCAAAUUGAAAAUUAUGCUCGACGCGGUUUCACAUGACGUUGGUUGAUGUGAUGGGCUGAUGGCACUGGAACGCAAGUCAACUCUUCUGUUUUUCCUUUAUCAAGAUAUACAAAACUGAACAUAAUGAUGUAAUCCCUCAGUCUCUUCGGCCGUUCUCACUUCUUGAUCUCGAUAACUUAAACAUACACAACAUUAGCUAUGUACGGCAAUGUUAUUCUACACCCUAGGUAUAUUAUUCUACACCGCAAGUCAAAACUGAGUAGAAAAAAUACUGAGCAGUACUGAGCAACGUUCAGUAUCAUCCAGUCGUACACCCAGUACCAUGAAAUACUGAACAAUACUGAAACACAGGUACUGAACAAUACUGAAUUAUGUUCAGUAUAACAGUUUGAUGUAGAAUAGUAUUCUACACCUAGGGUGUAGAAUAUAUAUAUAUAUAUAUAUAUAUAUAUAUAUAUAUAUAUAUAAUAGUACAUAAUUUAUAUGAUUAAAUAGAUCUUUGAAUCUAUUUUAAUAAUAAAUUUAUUUGGAUAUACAAUGUUGCUAGUAUUUUUCUAUAAAUUUAGUUAAGCUUUUAAAAAAAUUAUCUAGACAACACUUAAAAGGGGGCAUACACCAAUUAUUUUGAAAUCUUUUUAGAAAAUGAAAACUAUCUAGCCUAUGCAUCAGGACAUAGCCAAUCGUCACAAGAUUUUCAGCGCAAACACUGACAAAUGAAAUAGGAAAAAGCACACUCAAAUAUAGAGAAUCAAAAGUAAAGUCUAUUAUUAUUGCCACCUACUCUUAGGCAACAACCUCCAACUCUUUGCUUGCCAAACUGAAUUAUUUUUCCUUUGUGCCCUCACGUUGCAGUGCCCAAAACCACAGUUCAUACCAGUAUGCUCCCUCAGUCUUUGAAAGCUUUAAUUACUAGAAUCUAUAUUAGUCAAACUUUUUUAAAUUUAACUAAUUUUAUAGAAAAAAAUAUCAAUAUCUAUAAUAUAAAAUGAGUAUCUUAUGAAAAUAUAUUCUAUGAUAAAUCUAAUGAUACUAAUUUGAUACUAUAAAUUUGAGCGUUUUUUAAGAAAUUUGAUUAAAGUUUAAAAAGUUUGACUUAAGACAACUCCAAGAAUUGAAGCUUUUAGGGACAGAGAGUACUAAAUUGCCCAAAUAAUAGCGGCAAUCCCCCACAAAAAUCAAACUUCUUUUUAUUCUCCCAAUAACCAUUAAAACCUAUAUCUAUAUAGUUAUAUAUGAAACAAAAAAAUUCGGAAUGCUGAGAGCACUGCAACCAGAGCCCAUGGCUGGCGCCUUUAGCAUAAGGCCAGUCUCGAUGCAUGUUUCAUGAGAGUGUCAUGCACAUUAAAUAGGAUGUCAUAUAAGCAAAAUUGCUGACUUAGCAGGGUUAUUAAAGAAGUUUCAUCAGAUGAGAGAGGAGUUUCAUCCCCAUAAAACUCAUAUGGCACGGUUACCUAGUUUAUAAUCUUGGUAACAGUGUCAUAAAACUAUGCAUUGAGACUGGCCUAAGCGAACAUCCCCCAUUGUAAUUUGUAAAUACUCAUCAUCUUUAAAAUGACUUGUGUCUAACCGAAAUAUCUAAAAUAAUUUCAUUGGAGCGCAGACAAUAGAUGUACAACAAUCUGUUACUUCUUUUGCGGAACUACUUCGAACCUUGUUUAGUUUCCACUCAAAAACAUCAUUAAAUAUAGAUUAAAAAUAACCAAUUAUACAGUUUGUAUAUAUUUUGCAAGACAAAUCUUUCAAGUCUAACUAGUCUAUAAUCAGAUAUUAAUUAUUAUAAUUAUAAAUGUGCUAUAAUACCCAAUAACUUUUUUUUCGCAAACUAAACUGUGGUCAGUGGAUUUCUGCCGACCGGACCCGGCGGCUACUGCCGUCAAGCGACCGGCUGUAAACCGACGACUACCAUCAGGCGCUCGGCACCCGGCCCGGCCCCGGCAACCGACAGAGCCAAGCGGAUCGCACAACGGCACAACCAAUGCACAUAAGCACGCAUUAGGGCCACUAGAGUUGUGGGGAAACAGAUAGGAAAAAGAUUAGUUAGGAUUAGGUAAUAAUAAUUUAGAAUUCAUAUAUGCAUCGGUCUCAGUAUAGUCUUCAUCAGCAGCAAACAUACAGAUUAGGCUCACUGUAAAGCCACAUGUAAAACCAACGCACAUUCAGGCUAACAGAUGAUAGGAGUACUAGAAAAGGAGGAACGGCCGACCGACGAACAAAGACUGUUGUACAACAGGGCGAAAUCCGGAUACUGCUGCUAGCUGUGGACUCUUCUGCAGCGACUGGAUACCAGAACUGUUGCAUGUAGCAACAACUGAUCCACACAUCGCUAGCGACGACGUCUCUUGUCGUAGUCAUCCUCUUCUUCAUCAGAGUCACCUUUCUCACGGAAUCUGGGAUUCUUCUCCUGUAAACGAAACAUAGAAUGUUUUAUGAAUAUCUCCGGUCCACAAAGAAAUAAUAAGGGACCAUGGCAUAACAAGAAACAUUGCUAAUACCGCUGGAUCAGAGUCUGGUGCUCUCUUGGACUCCUCUGGUGCCGACCGGUCGUCGUUCCGAUAGCGUUUCCGCUGGUAAUCUGGAGACUCAUAUCGUGUUAGUGAGCAAAAAUAAAACACACAAAAGAACAAUUUUGGCAUGUGUUACCUCCUCUGUCAUUCCUAUGAGAAUCUCCGUAUCCUCUCUUCCGCUCACCUCUCUCAUCUGCACAUUAAAAUAAGAUGGCAAAUUCAUGUCCCUAAUAUGGUCAGGUUAAAGCACAUCUAAAGAUAAGAAUAUAAUGGGAAAAAUCUACUUAAAACGACUGGCCAACUAAUGAUCAAAUGAUUGCAAAAUAUGCUGCAAAGAAUUGAUUCGUCACAAUCAUGGUCCAGACAGCAAGAAGUGAAACACCCAACUUAUGCAAGUUCACAACAUCACAAAAGUAAACUGAUUGCCACUAGGGUAAAAGAGAGAUUGGACUGUGUAAAGAAUGCUAUGCAGAGUAAGGAGUAACAGUCUAACAGAACUGGAAAAAGGGUAAAAUUGUUUCAUAUAUUCCAGCAAACAUUACAUGUUGAAUCAACCAAAGUUUAUACAAACCCCUAAGAACUCAAUCAAAGACAAAAAUCAUAGGCAUCACAAAACAAAUGCGAAUUCAUGGAAAUUCGUUCUCAAAAGAACAUAAUCCAAAUAACAUCAAACUUACAGGGAGGUGGUGCAUUCGGUUGAAAAGAUCCACCAUAGUCAACUAAUUCUCUUUGUGCUUCUAGUUCCCUCUGAACCAUCUUACCAUAACCACCUCUUCGUUUGAUUCAUUAAGGAAAAUUGAGAGCUCCUUAGAAAAGUGGUUGAACAAAGGGAACAUGCAAAGGUACACCAUAAUCAAAAUUGCACCAGUAAAAGACAACAGGCGCAGAGAAACAUGUAAUUUUAUAGCUCAAUUUAAGUUGACACCAGCAGGUGCAUAGCAUUUAUGGAAUCAUCUUAUGGUUUUCUAUGUUUUAUAGCACCAGAUCAGAAUGGAGUAAACUGUAAUAGAAUAGCAUCAAAGGAUAUCAGGAUCAUAAUCUGUACGGUACUCAUCUCUGACCUAUGCAAGGAACAAGCAAUAUAUAAGCAUAAAGCAUGUAGAAACCCAUGUAUAUUUGUUAGAAUAAGAUCAAGGCACUACUUGUCCACCACUUCGUCCACGGCCCCAUUGCCUGCCUUCUUCAAAGCCCCAAUCGAAAUCAACACGGAUUGGACGAUCAUCAAGCAUCGUUCCACUAAUGUAUUUGACAGCAUCUUCAGCAUCCUCUCUAGAGUAGUACCUGGAAAGACAGGAUCAAAUUGCAUAGGCAUAAGGCCUUGUUUAGUUUGCAAUUUUUUUUGUUUUUGACUACUGUAGCAUUUCGUUUUUAUUUGACAAACAUUGUCCAAUCACAGAGUAACUAGGCUCAAAAGAUUCAUCUCACAAAUUACAGAUAAACUGUGCAGUUAGUUUUUAUUUUCGUCUAUAUUUAAUACUUCAUGCAUGCGACCAAAGAUUCGAUGUGAUGGGGAAUCUUGAAAAUUUUUGCGAACUAAACAAGGCCUAAGCAUGGCCAUUAAAACAACAGAUACUAACAGUCAAACCAGACUAAGUAGUAUUCUUGCAAUGCACAGAUAUGUGUGAACAGCAAAAUUCCUUUUUUUUUUCAAAAUUGACAGCCGAUGAAUGUGUAGCUUCUAUGAACCUAACAGAAUAGUGAGUUUAUUCAGAACAAGGCAGACUGACACACUGUACCCAACAAUACAGUUUGCAUCACUAAAUUCAAUAACCUAUGCCCCGGUUACAAAAGUAAAAAAAAAAAAAACCAUGAUUCUCAUCCUAUGAAUAUAGAAUGACACACAUGAACGACAUCAAACUAAACAUGGAAACAAAAACAUAGAAACUUUGCAAGCAGAGGGGGAAAAAGGCUAACCGCAUAGUUGUUAUCAGUUUAGCAAAACUUCAGCAUAAAUAACAUCAUAUUCCUCGUUGUAACCCUUGAUUUCCCACUUUACAAAUAAGGAAUCAAACAUAAUUGCAACAACCCAAUAAAUCCUAAGGAAAAUUUACACUCAGAUUGGAACGUGUAUAGCUAAAUAUCAGUGCCCAUGAACUCACAUCCCAGUCUUCUGGGGAAGGGGCUCACAAGCAAGCAUAGAAAACAGCUAUGGUACAAACUUAUACAUAUACAAAUUCUCAAAUGGCCACUGAAAUCACCAGUAUGGAACAUUAUAUGUUAUUAAAUCCCAGUUCCCAUAAAAAAUGAUAAAUUAAACGACCACACCCUAAUUAGAGAGUGCACAAGUCAACAGCGGCCAUAGCAGCACUUGAAGAUAAUUGUUUAGGGGCUGGGCGGCAAGAUAUAAACACAUAUACACUCAACAUCUAUAUGGUAAAAGUUGUGUUUUCUAAAGAACUUCCACGCACGGGGGGCUCCACCCCUGAACUAAAACAAAGUACAUGAAAUUAAGUAAUAAAAAAAUGAAAAGAUGGAUUGUUUUUCUUAUAUAUGACAUCGUUUCUACAAGAACCAAGCACCUGCUAUUUACCGCAACCCCGACCCCCCACCCCAGACCAGCACUCCAAUUUAUUGCAAUAUCCUAUGGAAUAUACACGCUGAGAUAGCACAGUUCUCUAUUCCUGUUCUAGGCAUGUCACAUGUUCCUGGCAGCAAUCAAAUUUCAUGAAGCAAUGUCCAGAUGCAACUAGCAGAUGAACAGCUCACACUACUACACUACUGAAGAACCAAAUCAAUACAUAAACAGGACUGGAAAGCCAUCUACUCAGCAUCCAAUUGCAUCAAACUACACUCCAACAGAACAAUUGGAGCAAUUUUCCCUAAAAAUUAAACUAGGGCGAGGGCUAUGUUCCUGUAAAUUGAAGGAAACUACAGCACCGAAUCCAAAAUCACCCAGCGCAAGAACAAACAGGAAAAGUAACGCGACGUAUCAAGGAAGGGGAAGAGGCCCGCACAGCACGAAGCAGAAACCGCAUGGGGUCUUGGAGUUCUUGUCGAGGCCCAUGAUGAUCUUCUUGAUCUCGCCGGCGCGGGAGAAGAGCUCGUAGGCUUGCUCCUCCGUGGUGUAGAAGGACAUGUUCCCAAUGUACAGCGUAGUCGACGCAAGCAGCGUCGCCUCAUACUCCUCCUGCGUCCCCUUGAAUCGACGGUCCCUGUACGCCGAAAGCUUGCUCGGGUCCUGGAGGCAGCAGGAGAAGCCGCGAAGAGCCGCGUCAGCAUGGCGGGGCGACGGGACCUGGAUGCUCGGGGAAUUAGGGUUUUUGAGAUCCGUACCUUGAAAAGGGACGCCAUUGAGGGCUGCGGCGGCGGCCGCGCGUGCUAGGUCGAGAACUCUGCGUUCAGCGGUUGAGAGUUGAGGGGGGUUUGGCUCGAGUGAAGAAGAGCCGGGCGUGGGGAAUUUUGGCGAUCUGCAAUUGGCGAAGGCCGAAGGGGACGAAACAAGGAGGGGGAACCGGGGACGGGGAGGUGUUAAAAAUAGGCAUAAAAAAUAUCAUUUUACCAAAACUAAAACAUUCUAAAACUUCCCUUAAAAAGGUUGCCAACAUAAUUCCCACCGCUCAGAUUUGUUCAGCUAAAACUUCAAAGAGAUAUUAUUUACGCCUGUUUGAUCUAGGAAGAAAAAGAUGUAAUUCUCACUUUAAAAAAAAUCAAACGAUGUGAAGUUUGACUAAUUAUAUAAAAUAUUAGCAUUUACCUAUAUGGAAGAUUUUUAAGUUUAGGGACCAAGAUGAUACAACCGAACAAGUUUAGGUACCUAAAUGGUCGUUUUGCGAGUUUAAGGACCGGGAUGACACAUCCAAAUAAGUUUAGAGACCGCUGAUGGACUUUACUUUAAAUUAAUUAUGAAAUAUAUUUUAUAUAGUAUACUUAGUUCAAGACAUAAAUGUUAAUAAUUUUAGUAUAAAUUUGAUUAAAGUUAAAGUAACAAAUCCUACAGUAACAUUCUUUUGCAGAUGGGGUGAUUAAUUCGCUACUAACAAUUACCUAAUUUGGAUUUUGAUCAAAUAGAUUUAAUUGAUAGUCUAAUUAAUUGCUAGCUAAAUACUAGCAACUAACAAUUAUUUCACUAGUCGGAUAAAACCAACUAAUAGUUAGCUGACUAAUAAAAGCUAUAAGCUAGCUAGCUAUUAGCAGCUAAUGAAUACAAACAUGGCCAUAAUUUAUUGGCUAGAACAAAUAUAUAGAUGUUCAUAGAAGCUUAUAAAGUGUCUUAAGAGUCACCCUAGACACAAAAUUAUGUCAAAAUUAACUUUUGAACCUACUAUUAUAUGUUCAUGCGAUCAAUUUGGUAUUUUUCAGUAAAUACAGAAAUCAAAAUUCCUCGAUUUUUAGAAGGAAUCGAUCGAUAGCUAUUUUCUAAAGAACCCAAUUUCCAUAGAACCAAAGUACUGAACUGUAACACUCUAAAAAUUAUAUACUUCUAAACAUAGGGUUGAUUUAUUGUAUUUUUGUGAGCAUUAGAAUAAAGAAAAUAAUAAUUUUUAUUAAAGUAAAAUCAACUAUAAGGACAAGUUACAUGUUUGAGCAUCCAUACUGCUGCAUUAUUUUGCUUGAGUGGUCGUUUCAAAUUCAAAAAAAAAGGUUUUCAUUUUUUUUGAAAUUUAUCUAAGCAAAGGUUUAAAAAUAAAAACAGAAAGGACCUUAUUUUCUCCCCCUCACUCUCUCUGGAAUUCGGCCCCAAAUCUCCUGCGGCCUGCUUUUCUUCUGUGGGCUGAAGCCCAGUUCCCUCUCUCCUUCUCCCCUCUUUCGCGUUGUACAGCAGGCCGGCCCGGUUAGGCCACGCGGGCGUCGUCGCCUUUGGUUCCGCUGACGGCCUCGUCUCACCCUCCCUCUCGCUGACGCCUCGAGCCCACUAGUCAGUCGCAUCUUCUACCUCUCGUUGUCGAGACGGACUCUGUCUAGGGCUACCAGCCGGUGGAUUCCUCACGUCUAGCGUGAACCGCACGCUGAGGGCUCCUAUAAGUAGUAGCCACAGCCUCGCCAACUCCCUAUUCCUAACCCUAGAGCAAGCCGCUGCCCUAGCCGAGACGCAGCAACCGCCGAGAUCGCCGUCGAGGUUGAACUUCUGCUCCGUCGUGCCUCCACCUCCGUGAACCCAUUGUCGAGCUUCGUAUCGACCUUGCGAAGUCACCGAGCUCUUUCUCUCUUUUUUGUGCUCUCUGUGCUCCGUUUAACCUCGCCGAACCUUGCAGGAACUCAGCCGUCCACCGUCAUCCAUUGUGAGCACACUUCGGCCGCUCCCCGACUUCGAUUUUGCCUUAGGUGAGAUCGCGAUAAGCUUCUUUACGUCCCUGUGCCCUUGGUUUCUUGAUUCGUGCUCUAAAUCGCUGGAUCGAGUAACUCCGGUCGUGCUCGUCCAUGGCGCCGCCAUGUUCUACCCCAACUCCGGCCGGCUGCCUCCUCGCAUGUUUCCCCGAUCUAAUCCUCACCCUCUAAACGAGAUCCAACGGCCAAGGUCGAAGGGUACCCCUUCGGCCGUGACUUUUAUAAAAGAGCCCCUCGGCUUUUUAGUUAUCGAACCCGCAGUUCAUGGCGUAUUCCCCGGACACGUUUUCCUUUUUCAAAAGUCUACUUUCUUUUUAUUCAGAUUUAAAUACGUUUUCUCAAAAUUACAGAUUUGCCACUAACCUUGUUUUGAUCAUAAAAUCUUCAUUUUGACUCCGAUUUGAACCACUCAAAUUGCGUUAGAUUUGGUUUUCCGUAAUCUAUAGAUUAGUACCAUUGUUAUACAUGUUUCCAACUUUUAAAAUUCGAGCUUAGAUUUAAUCUAUUACCUUACCGUAGGAAAUCUUGUUUGGAUCAUAACUUUUUCGUUAUAACCUCGAUUUUCAUGAUUCUCAUGUCUGUGUGAUCGUAGUGCAACGUAAAUUCAUUUUACAAACUUCUCAUAUUUAUUUACUAAUGUUGGUGUAUUGUUCUAAAUAUAGAUUUGUUUGCUUUGUAUGAUUGUCUCUGGAUGAUUGUUGUUGAUGUGAUGGUUGAAUAUAGACGGUGAGCAAUUCGUGCGUGAUCAAGAGUAUUUCUACGAAUAGGAUCAACAGGACCAGUUUGAUCAAGGCAAGUAUAGCAUGGGAUUAUCUUUGUUUUCCUAAUAACUAUAGUCACACACAAUUCAUAUUACAUGUGUCGUCUUGUUAAAGAUUUUCUAGUAUUGAUCUUAUAUCUUGUCACCUAUGGUUUUGCAUUGGGUAGCUUAUGCUAGUGCUUCACUAAACCAUGAUCUUGUAAUUUGAUUAAUGAAAUAUGCAAUAAACAUUAAAAGAUGAUUUUAAGCAACUUUGGUAAAGAGGGCUAGAGCAUUGCGCUAAUUUAUGGUGCUCUAUUUUCUCUCCAUAAGGACUUACCUGUAUGUGAUCAUCCAGGACAUACAGUACAACUAUGAGGGCUAUAUGGCUCUGCCUUUAGUUCAGUAUAAGGACCUUUUCUAGCUUGUUAGUGGUUAUCCUUUAUGGUGCAAUAGGGGCUUGCCGAAUCGGGUAUUGUGCGGCCUUUGUCCUUAUGUGUAUAGUCUGCACGUUAUUGUGCCAUUUGGAAGGGGGCUCUAUAUCUGUUUGCCAAUUAGAAAUCUAGCGGCCCUAACAUUGUUAGACGAAUCAUUGAAAGACUUUAUAGUGAACCCUACCGACCUUCCUUGGUAGUGGGUUAAGGGGCUGAUCACAUCAGGCCAAAAAGUAAAUCAUGACUCACAGUGAAAGUGUACAACCUCUGCAGAGUGUAAAACUGAUAUAUCAGUCGUGCUCACGAUCACGAGCAACCUUGGAACCCUUACAGAAUAAAUGAUCACUAAUGGCUAUUAUUAUUACUAUUAUUGUUAAUAUAUUGUUUAUGCAAUUCUUUAUUCACUUUAAUUACUUGAUCAUGAGUUUACUUCGGGAUAUGACAACUUGAUGCUACUCAUAUGCUAAAUUGUGCCAACUAAAAGCUACGUGUAGUUUAAACUCGUGUCUAGCCUAUUUGAGCCUCAUGAACCCCAUGUUAUGUUGCUGAGUACGAGAUGUACUUAUGCUUGCCUUUACGUUUUAUUUGGAUAAAAAUCCCAGAUGGAUACCAGAUUAUAAGUUUCAAGGAGUUUAGGCUUGUGAUCAACCAGUUAGUUAUCCCUGUGGAAUUGGAGCUUUCUGUAACAGAACCGACCAAAUUAUAAGAGAUUAAUCCUAAUAGUGACCAUUUGCAUAGUCAAACCAUCGAGCUUAAGCCCAUAUAAUCCCGGUAGUCCAUGAAAUCUCGAAGGAUUUCAAACCACAUAUCGUACAUACAGCCAAGAUCGUAAUAAGUUUAGCGGUCGCCAUCCACAAAUACAUCCAGAUUACAACAUUCAGAAAAUACAUCAGAGUUCUUAAAAAUUAUUACAAACCAAGUUCUCAAGUAGCGGAAGCUUCAUAGUUCGAAAUAACACACACAUACUUAGUCUGAUACAGUGCCAUUUUUUGGUCAUUCCCACAAAAGCAAAAGAAGAGACUGAGUGACCAUCGCCCUUGGUCUAGUCAUCACCCAUGGCUGGGUACAGACAGAGGAUGCAAUAACCAUAGUACAUUUGACCAUCUGCAAAACAACAUGGGAGUAGAACCCUGAGUACGAGAAUGUACUCAGCUAGACUUACCCGUCAUAAAUUAAAAUAAAGACUCUUCAAGGAUCAUGAAGGCUAUAUAGUGGGGCAGCUGACAACCUUUUUGCAAAACCGCAAGAUUCUAUUAACAUGCCCUACAUAAAUCUUCCUUCUUUUAAUUUGCUCAAGUUGACAGUAUCAUUACUUAUUAUCUAGGUUUGUACCUGCACUAUUACAAUCAAGUGUAGUAAUAUGAUGAUACCUCAUCAUAGUAUUCAUGAAACCAUUUAUCUUUAUAAUCCAAGUGUUCCGUGUCCUUACUACGAGGACGAAGCUCAUGUCAAGUGCUCACUAUCCAGGAGCGAUGGCGAUUCGAAUCGAUUUCUAACCAGCUGGCGAGUUUAUUCCCCACACAAACCACACUCACUGAUCAAGUGAGCUACAGAUCACCGUAUUGCACUAUCCAGGACCAAUUCGCGGGUUCGACAGGCACCGCCCGUACCCGAGGACCGUUCCGGCGACCGAGGUAUCCAAGGUAUACCAAGGUUGUGCGCCGCGCCCUCGUCGUUCCCCUCAACCAUCACCAAUACAGCGCGUACAUCGGGCCGAUUUCCGGCCCGGAUAGUGCUCAGGCUUCGCGGUCGGAACGACUUAUCCUUCCAGCUAAAUGUGGGACAUGCGUUCAACAUGACAAGAGGGCCGUCAACGAUCGGUCCUUAAUCGACACAGGCAGGGGCACUAUAGUCAACCCACUAUAAGACCCUGCCCGGUCUCAAAUUUCGUUCCACACUUGGUUAUUCUUUUCCCAAAGCAAUCACUGCUUAAUCAAGCAGGUAUCCACCUAUAUCUCGCAGGUGAUAGGAAAUCACCCGACUUCUACCGGACUAAGCAAGCUAAGCAUAGACUCCGCACCUAUCUACAUAGGACAAGGUAGAUAAAUGAGGGGUGAUAUCAAGGAGUACCAAUGCAUCAACGGUAUCAACCAACUCCUAUCACUUAAAUGCAGUACAAUAGAACAAGCAUAAUAUAUCAUGUAAGUUAGCGAGAAUAGGGAGACUUAGAAUGCUCCGGGGCUUGCCUUUCUCAAACGUGCUGGGCCGGUGAUCCGGACACUCCUGUAGCUCUUCUCCGGGUUCCGGUGCUUCCGGAGGUUCCUGCUUCUGAAUCUCCUCUGGCUCCUCGGGUCCCACCUCGUUCUCCUGCGAGCCUGUGUGAUGUAUGUAUGCUCAUGAGUGGAGUGCGGGAUGUCCGAGUGGAUGCUUGUAUGAGAAGGUACCAAAUGAUCAUGACAUGAUGCAUAUGUGAUUUAAUUGGUCAUGCUCUUUACAAGGUAGUCAACAUCAUCCAAGAAUAGGCAAUUGAUUUUAAACAUCUAUUGCAUUCUCUCCUACAAAUUGUUUUCAAGUAUAAUCAGCAACCCACAAGCUGCUUCAAAGAUACACCAAACCCCUUCUUAUUCCAUUUAACCCACAAAUAACAAUUAUAAUUUAAUUACUCAUUUCUAGGCCCAUCAAAAAAUAGCAUGCAUUUCUGUUUAUCAAUAAAUUCCACAAACAUUACAGGAGACUAUCAGUCCAGCAUAAAGUCUACCACAAAUUUUUCAUAAUUUUUGGAUACUUAAUUUGAGCUACAAAAAUCAUAAGAUUAUUUAAUAAAGGCAAGUACAAUUACCCUACUGUAUUAUAAGUGUCAAACAGCAGAUUUUAUAUUUUUAUAAUUUGCCUAAUAUCAUAGCAAACACCCACAAAAAUUACCAGAUUAAUUGCAUAAUCCAUUUAAUUAUUAAAAAUCAUAAACCACUGCAAUGCAAGCAUUUAAAUCACCAAAAAUUCAUUUAUACACCAAAUAAUGUGUAGCAAUAUUUUCCCAAUGAGUUAACACACAUGCAGAGCCAACAAAAUAGGUUUCACAUUUUUCUGAGCCAUAUUUUAAUUAUUAUGCAUUUUCCAAGUUUAGCAAAAGCAUGGAUUAAUUAUUCUUGUCCAGAAAAAGGGUUCAAACAUGACAUGCAAUUACAUCAAACUGUAGAUCUAAAAAUGGAGAGCACACCAAAAUUUAUUUCAUCAAAUUUGGAGCUGUAGAACUCAAGAUAUGGAUUUUACAAGUUUUAAACCGAUUUCUGGAAAACCUUUUCUGAAAAUCAAUUCGAAAUCGGGAUCAAAAACACUAAAGACACCCAGAUCUACACCCAACGCGGUCCCCCUGCGACUGACAGUGGGCCUCUGACCCCAUUGGUCAGUGAGACCGAGAGGGAGGGUACCUCCGACGAGCAGAUCUCGCCGGCGGUGAGGUUUCCGGCCACGGGGUGAGCACCAUUGUACUCCCCGCAGCGAGGCGCACCCAGCGGUACCCUCGGAUUGGCCGGAGGAUGGCCGGAGCACCUCCGACGAGCAUGCAUGGCGGCACGGCGGCGCUGCUCGCCGUGGCCAGGCUGCUCCGGUGCGGUAGAACACGCGCAAGGGCUCCUCCGAGCUUCCCCGUCGCACUACGGAUCUAACGCGCCAAAAAGCAAGCGAAACGAGGCGGAAACGAGCGAGGUUCGACGCGGCGGAGCUCUCCGGCGAGGUCGGAGCAACUCCGACGAGCGAUUCACGGUGUUCGACGGGCUCUCACCUCGGUAGAGCGUUCGCAGGAGCUUACCGCGACGACGGCGAGCGCGCUGGUGGUUUUGACGACGAGAUUGGGGCACUAGCGUGGCCGGCGGUGAGCAGCGGAGCUUCUCCGGCGAUGGCGCUGCGGCGGAGCUCCUACGGCUGCGAUUGCGCUCGCGAGCGGAGGGAGGAGGGAGAGAGGCGCGGGCGACAGAGCGAAUGGAGCGGCCUGGGGGCUCGGGUCGGCGUCCCGACCAGGUGAAGCCGGUCGGCCGCGGCGCGCCCAUCGCUGGCGUACGGCCGCCACGUGGCCGUCGCUGGCUGGGACGAGGCGGGCGUCCGCGCGCGGGAGAGGGGAGGGGGAGGCAGGCCGGGCCGCUGCCUGGGCCGAAAGGGAGGCGGGGUUGGCCCAGCAGCGCCUGCCCCCUUUUCCAUUUUUUUUUUUGAAUUUCUUUUCUCCAAUUCUUUUCUAAAUUCAUUUGGACCAUUUUAAAAUCAUUUCCACCUUUUGCCCCCAAAAACAAAGUUGUUCCAAAACAAAAACCCUACAACUCUGUUUUAAUAAGCAAGACCAAAUUCCAAAUAGAAUUUGAAUUACAGAUUAAAACUAGUUAUAGGUUUUCAAAUAAAUUCAUUUUGGGUGAUUUUUGUAUAAAUUCCAUUUCUCAAAUUCUAUGGCUCCAAAAAUUGCACAAAAAUAUUCUUAAAUCUUCUUGCACACAAUUCAACCUAGUUUGAAUAUUCCACAAUUUUAGAAGCAAGUAUCAUAUUUUUAGCAUAUUUAAUCACAUAGAAUAAAGCACACAAAAUCAUAUUUUUGGAUGGAUGCCAUGCUCAUGUGAUGCUAUGCUUGAUGAGAAUGCUUAUGCAUGUUUUGGUAAAACUAAGUGCAUGCUUAACACCUAGGGUGUUACACUUUCGCCUAAAGAACAAAGUGUCUUUCCGCUAUUUGCUAUCUAAGGUUAUAUCUCUUAUACUAAGUAUGUUAUAUAUUGACCAUUGUCUAUUGAUAUUAUCUUUAUUUGUGACUAUAUAUGGGAUUUAACUUCCGCCGGAUGCUACAUGAACCGACUUAAGAGCACAUAGAAAAUUGUGUUUUACUCCGUAAGGAAGAAGGGGAUCGGAGACUAAUAUUGAAGCAAUAUAUGCAAGCUUUGGACCUGACUGUCUCCAACAAAAGACCUAUUACGGCACCUAAACCCAAAAUGGUCUCAAGCGGUACCUAUAACCUUCAACAUACGGAGACCUAUUUUGGAUGAUACAGGAGUAUGACCUAAGGCCUUGUUUAG
This 46041-nucleotide long non-coding RNA is filed under the name Sorghum bicolor (sorghum). RNAcentral describes it as "long non-coding RNA (SBIC_LNC007306)". The record is from RNAcentral. Lineage: Eukaryota; Viridiplantae; Streptophyta; Magnoliopsida; Poales; Poaceae.